UUUUUUUUUUUUUGAGUCCUGGGCCGAACCGGAGAUGCUCUUACGGUCAUACCCAUGUUCGGCCCAUUAUACCUGGACUAGGCCGGGCCGGCGUUAUCCGAGAGUUCUGAAGGCGCGCUGCUCAUCCGAGAGCUGGAAGAAUCGGCGGCGCACAUGGAGGCGCAGCCGCGGGAGAUCUUCCUCGGCGCCGGCGGCCACUGCUUCCUCGUCCUCGUCCUCGUCGCUCACGUAAUACACCCAAACCCUACCUCGUCCCGUUUCUCUUCACCUGCGGAUGUUGCAUCAGAUCCGCCUACAUCUGCAAGUAGGGAUUAAGGCAUAGAUGGAUUCUUUCUGCUUAGUCUCGAAGAAGAAAAGCAAUCCAGAUUGAGACUUUCCCACUUUAGAUCUCCAACAUUGCAGAUAAUAAUAGAGGGUGUCGGUCACCGAUUCUCAAUUUGCUCUGAAAUUCGUAUGUGCUCUGCUUUUAUUUUUCUGUCAGCAUGGACACUUGCCAGAUACAUUAUUUGAUUGAGAAAUACUAGGCGAUUGUGGUGUGUAAUCUGUAUGAACAAAGAUCUACAAGAAACUUAAACAAGCCGUCUAUCUAGCGCGUAUUAUAUACAUAUAACUUCCCCAUAUAAUUUAUAUUCAGUUUUUUCAUCAUUGUUGAUCUUAUUCUGAACUUCUCAGGAGCGACAACUCAAUGCGAUUAGUACCUUUGUUCAGUUCAGUGUAUGAUGGGAACAUAGUUUGGCGUUGAUGUCCUAACGACACGCAUCACUCAUGUUUUUUAGAAUCUUGGUAGCUCAUCUUGGUAACUCAUGUUCUUUUUUAUACAGUUAUACCUUGUUUCGCAAGCCUAACCUUUUUCUUAAAUUUGCUUUGUUGAACAGGGAGAGACCCAUCAUGCAAAUAAUGGCCAACAGGACAUGUUCUGCUUCUGCCUCCUCACUCUUUGCUUCAUCUCGGCCACAAGGAUGGGCAGAGCUCCCGGACGACCUGCUCCGACCCAUUGUCGCUCUACUACGCUCGUUCCGCGACCUCCUCGCCUUCGGUACCACUUGUCGUCAUUGGUGUGAUCUCUUCUCAGCACGCAGGUCCUCUCUCCAGCCUCUGCUCCUCCACCCCAAUCUCCGUACCGACGGUGGACAGACUCUCUCGCAUAACUGUUGGACCUUAUUCCACAAAGGCGCAUGGAGAUUGGCUGACCCUGCUGCCACCUCAUCCUCUCGCAGUUUUCUUUCCUUGAGUGACCUCAGAAGCAUGACCUUUCUGCGCUACUCCCAUGGUCAGCUCAUCUUCUACGACAACAAUGGGUUCCAUAUUGUUAAUCCGUUCAGUGGCACUAAGGUUGGUCCUCCUUCCCUCCAGUCAGUUCACUUCACUUGCAUCAGCUAUGUCACCUUAACUGCCCCUGUUGCAUCCACUGAUUCGCAUCUCCUUGUCGGUGCUGGAGCCUAUCUGUUCCUGUGGCGCAUCGGGAGCGACUCUUGGACAAAACACAGUCCUAAAGUUGUUCGUUUUUCCAUUGAACAAAAUGUGGCCUUCAAGGGCAAGACAUAUGCCCUAGGGUCUUUCGGGUGGUUCUACAUCAUUCACUUGUCACCCAGUCUCAUUGUUGAGAAGUUUAAAGUUGUGUUCGAGGAAGAUAAAACCGAAGAUCUCUAUUCGGCAAAUGAAAAAGCAUGGCUACUGGUGUGUGGUGACACGCUUCUCUUGAUCAAACUUGUGGAGGCGGGAAGACGGAUGCGCUCGGAGGCCUUCCAGUUCAUGCCCUUCAAGCUUGAGUCAUUGGACACCAUGACCAAGAAGGCAAGGUGGGUGAAAGUGAACAAGUUAGAUAACUGGGCCAUCUUUAUCAGCAUUGACGAGCGGUGCAAGGCGUUGCCGUGCAUGAACCCAGAGGGAUGGGGAGGAAGGAGCAACCACAUAUACUUCCCAAGUUAUCAGUCUGAAAAACCUUGGGCUGCAGUCCAACUAUGGGAAAAAUGUUAUUACCGUUCGACACAGCUCUUCAACACUGGAAGACGGUACCUGAAAUUGGAGUCAACCUGGGUCUUCCCCGCGCGUUUCCUUGUUACGUCCUGCGAUGAUCUUACGGCCGUGAGUGCGGUUGAUGAUUAGCUUCUGAUACAGCUUUGGUGGGAGGAUUCUACUAUGUUGCAGUAGCAAGAUGAGUAGUUCACUGAAUGUUCUUGACGUGUUUCAAAACUUGCAUUACAAACAGAAGUGUAGAUUAAGUUAUCAGAUUAUGUACUUUCCUCUCUUUUUCUGUGGCAAUUACAAGGGAGUUUCUUACAGAUUGUGGAGUUUUCUUGUACCUGGGCACUUGAUAACAUGGGCUAGGCCUGUAACUUCCCUUUAAUACAUAGAUAGCUAAGAGUAAUUGUACUAUGAUUGUUGAUUAUUCACGUGAUGUGCUUGAGCAUAUGACAGUCUUAUUGGGUGGAAAUGUGAAUCUUGAGAACAUAGCUUGGGCAGAGCUACCAUUUUUUAACUGAACAUUGUACGCAUUUUGGGCUGGAGAUUUGCAAGGUCACCAAGAAUUAGAGUGAGGAUGCAAGUCCAUAGCAUCAGGUUAAUAUAGACUGCAAGUUCAGCCAACAAACAUAUAACCAGCAUAUAUGCAUUCAGCACAAAUUUUAUAUUUCACACCAACAAAAACUAGGCAGACAGAGUGUUCGACAACCAAAAAGCUCUGCAUUUGCACGUAGCUUCAGCAAACAGCUCUGCGUGCAUUUGAUUAUCUCUGUUUAGAAGAAGAUCAAGCUACAAAUAGAUGUAUGGACCAAACAAAGCACAUAACUAAAAUAAAGCCCAGGCACAUAUCUGACAUGGUGCACACAAAAAAUGCUGAAGACCCAAGGAGCUAGUAUUGAUUCAGGAUGCAAACCCUUAUCUUUUGUAUGCAAAAGAGGAGUAAUUAACAAAGUUCAGUGAAAACAGCAACAUGUAGCACAAGUUUUGCCUCCAGGAAUGUACACUGGGUGGCAAACAGAGAUUAUUACAAAUCUUGAUGUACUCCGUCAAAGGAGCUGAAACUAGAAGGAACAUAGCGACAAAAAGUCCCCAAGUGCAGCCAACGACAACAAGACAACUGCGCGCUGCAAUGACACGAUCUCAUACCCAAGCUGCAAAGGAUGUAGGAUUGCGAGCAAGAUAAGCAUUGAUCGUCGCAAAACAAGGUUCUGGCUCCAACUCCUCAUUUUGGUUGCCAUCUACUGGGUAUGAAAAUACCCGAGCAUUUUCAUCCAACUGAUAGACAAGGCCACCCCUUAAACCCAUUCUCUCUGGAUUCACUAAGAGUCGUGGCUGUCUAUUACGUUUCUCGCCAAAGAAGAACGCCCACUUCUUCAAGCCUUCCUCUUCCACGAUCACAUACUUUGCAGGUUCAGUUGAGAAGUCAAUGGAGAAGGCUUCCCCGUUACGACCAAGUAGGAGAAGUGUGUCUUCACAAGCCACCAAAUUUCCGGAAAGCACGUACGGGUCCAUAUAAUCUCUGCAAUCAACUCUUAGUACCUCAACAUGAAACUGAGGUGCCAAAUGCACGGUGUAUAGUUUUUGACGCAUCCUCAUAAUGACCCGGCCUUUGAAGGACACCAUCUCCUUGAUCAAAUGUGCAUUUAGAAAAUCGCAGUGCAACCAAGAGGGGCUCCCAACUCGCCAAGCGUACAGGCAGUGCGGGCUGCUGACAAAUAGAUAUGAAUCUGGUGACGCCUUUGGAGAUAUGAAGGUUUUGUAGCAUAGUUGACUCAAUGGGAAAGGUGGAGCUGCAACUGUAGUGCCAUUGAGCACGUCCAUAAUGACAAGGGAUCUCUCGUAGCAGAAAAUCGCAUGACCAUAAGAACAUUUGACGACUGUCAUUUUGUCCAAAAUACUUGGAGGGGUCAAGCGACACAACGGAGUACUUGGAUAUACAGGAUCAAUGAGCUCCCAUGUGUUUCCAAUGUUAGAGCCAGCUGAGCUUGUCUGGUCGGCACAGUUCCGGAAAAUAACAGGUGGGAAGAGCUCUUCUAAGGUAGAAUUGAUUGACAUGAAUGCGGCAUACCAGCUAGGGCAGGUGGCGAUGAAUGCAAGAAGGUCACGGGUUGAACCCAACAGGACAAUGAUGGAGUGCAAUAAUCCGUGUGGUAGGUCCGCCCAGCCUUCGGGUCCAAACAUGACACGGUGCACGGAGAUGGGGGUGUUGGAGCUCCGGUUGAUGUUUUGCAUGAUAUCAGCUUCAAAUUCUGCAUUAAGGAUCAUGAAAGGACAACAAUUUUAGCAAUGGACUUGAGUUAACUAUAUAAUAUAAAUUGCUAUCACUAUUUUAAUUAAAUUGGUACUACUACAGCUAUGAUAAUUAUACAAACACAAUAAAAAUGUUUGUAGAAACUAUAAACAUAAUACAUAGUAGAGCAAAGACUACAGUAUUGCCAUCGAAAUGUGCAUCUGCCUCAAGAAAAUUUGAUCAUGAUAAAAUUCAUCAACAUUUGAAAAGAAAAGGCAAGUUCUGUAUUUUUCUUUCCACCGAAUGUUAUUUAUAUAUGUUGCGCAACAGGUUUGGCUCUUGUCUCCACCUCGAUUCUGGGCCCACAGAUACGCGAUAAAUUUCAUCAACAUUUGAAAUUAAAAAGUGCAAGCAAUAUUGAAAUUCUAAGAUUGUUCUACACUGAUAGUGGUAAACCCUUGAACUAUUUCAUAUGUUCAUAUAGCAUAAACACAACAGGAUCGCACAUCCACCAACAACACAUACACUCAGAUCCCCAAAUCAUCCAUGGCAGAGUCAGGCUAACAAGAACAAAAGUGCGAUGAGCGCGUCAGAGGAGGUCGCCCCCAAUGGGGGUGAUGGCGGGCCAAGGAAGAUGAUCCUGGGCAGCCUUGCACGGUGGAGAACUCUGUCUGACCAUGGACCGUGGCACCGGACAGCGAAUAUAUAUACUCGGCCAACCCACGAGACCAUGUCCUACACAGAAAUUGACUUAACCUAGAUCACAUCGUAUACUACAUAUUUGGACUCAAGCUUGACUCAAACACGUGAACUCCUACUAGUACAUGUACAUGACUUUGGUUAGUCCCCAAAGAAAUAAAGCCACGUGACAUGCAAAGCACCAACUACAUCAUGUUCCAAACAAAACAAUCAAGAUUAUGCUAACACUAGCGUCGGCCCAUGCACAACCAAUGGCUAUCAUGGGUUCCCAACUCCAGCAGGAGGUGGGAAAGGUCUCGUCCACGAUACCGGCAAUCACUCCAAAGUUACUUGUAUGUACAACUCAGAGCAAGGGGGUAGAACUCGACAUCAACUUGGUUCCUUCCCUUGCCAGGGGCUAAACCCGGAGGGCGGAGGUGAUUCAAGGCCAGGCCUCCUCCAUGAGUCCAGCAGCCAGCAAGGAAAAUGAAGUGGGCGAAGUCAACCUCAACAAGGCUCCUCCCCUACCCCUGGAGCCAGUAACACGAAAGCCAAGCACCACAAAGGUAAGAAUAGCCUCAAGGCUAAGCCAGGGAAGUAAGUUGAUCAAUCCCUGGUGAACACCGAGGCGGUGUUGGGUAAAUGCAUGGGACGUGACAGUGAGUCUGGUAGUGAGUUUGUGGCGACACGCAGUUAGAAGGGUCCUGGUCUGAACAAGAAGGCAUGAGGUGAGGGUAAUGGAGGUGGCAUGAGCAACAUAGGUGUGUUAGGCGGUAAGGAAGCUAUCGGCCCAUUGGUUGCCGAUGAAUGACAUGUGAUAAGGAAGCACCUAUCAGGAGAAAUGAGUCGCCUGAUCUAGAACUAUUGGGGCCUCGGACAGUCUUGGAUAGUUGAAGAGCUAGUUUGCCUCGUGCACGCAUAUACCACUUGAUGAUCGUUUUACUUUCUGAAACUCAGCAAUAUGAAAAGAGUUUCAAUAAUGUUAGGUGGAUGCUAAGCCGCCAGCAUUGUAUUGUGCAUGAUGGUAAGGGCAAGGGUGCGCUGCGUUGUUCUGAGAUAAAUGAACUAAAAUAAAAAGACUGCCAUAUGACCUGAGGUACAUCAAUGUCUUAAUUCAUGAUGAUUCCCGUGGCCUGAAGUGUCAGGCUACAUGGUGAACCUAAGGAGUAAGGAAGACGUCACAUCUGGAGUUUACUCAAAAGAAUAGAGCCAGAUGCUCAUGAACACUUGUUGAUGAUAGGUGAUUUUUAUGAGACGAUGUGGCAGCGUGAGCACUUCUCAGUAGCUUGGAUAUUCGAGAGAAAAAUACCAAGUUCAGAGAAGCCUUGUUCUAGUGUGAUCUUCAUAAUUAGGGCUAUAAGGGGCCUUCCUGGACAUACGAUAAUAAACAGUAUGGCAAGAGCAAUGUGACCGUCGGGUUGAAAGUGCAGUUGCAUCGUCGGGUUGGUGUGAUUUAUUCAGAGUGAACAAUGGUACACACAUAUUCUCCAACCACUUUCCUCUAUGGCUGCAAUACGGAGACAGACCAAGGUGCAUAGCAACGUGAAAUCCUUUCGGUAUGAGUAGAUAUGGGAAAGAUUAUCGUCGCCGGAGGAAACUACUGAAAUCCCUGGCCGAUGACUGCACUAAGCUGGGAGUGCUGCAACAGGAUGUUUGGUCCUGGACAUGAAAGAUUUUGGGUCCAUGAUAAGCAGUACUCACUGGCUGAGAAGGAAUAUUAUAGUCACAUACUGAAUGCACUAUCUUAUUGGUUGCGGAUGGUUGGGAAAGCAUCUUAAGAAAGCAGGUCUUGGAAGGGAGGUUAAUGCCUAUCAAAAUUGUUGAGGGAGCCUAGGUGUCUCUAAACUAAUGUUUGUUGAUGGCAGCCUUUUGUUCUUCAAGGCCGUAUGAAGAGAGGUGAGGGUAGUGAAGGACACUCCAAAUAUAUUUCAAAGGUGUACAUGAUAGCUUCUUAGCCCGGAUAAAUGCUCUUUAUUAUUUAGUCAACACUGCUCGCCCCAUGUCCAAUAAGAGAUAAAGGUCACCCUUGGUGUUGUGGCUUCCACUUUUGAGAGUAAAUAUUUGGGUUUACCAACCCCAGAAGGUAGGAUAUUUGCCUCGAAUUUUAGUCAAUCAUGGAAAGGUUCACAAAAAUGUGCAAGGACUGGAUUGAAAAGUAUAUGACCCAUGCAGCUAAAGGGGUCUUGAUCAAGUAAGUGGUUCAAGUGCUUCCCAAUUACUUAUUUGGAUUGUUCAAAUGUCCACGGGCUUUUGUGAUAAGUAUGAAAAUUUUAUCUGGGACUUUAGGUGGGGCGAUGAGUAAGGACAUCACAAGUCAAUUGGCUCUCCUGGUACCAACUUAUAAAACAAAAGAGAGGAGGUGUUCUAGGAUUCUGGGAUAUGCAUAUGUUUAACCAAGCUCUCCUGGCAAGGCAAGGGUGGAGACUGAUUCACAAGCCGGAUAGUUUAUGUUCCAGAGUAUUGAAAUCAUAAUUAUCGUUGUGGGAUAUUCUGGACAUGGUCAUUUCCUCGUAUGCAUCCCCCGCUUGGAGUUAAGAUACUCAAGGAAGGCAUCAUCUGGCAUAUAGUGAAUGGACGAAAAAUUCAGAUUCAGAGAGACAACUGGAUUCUGAGACAGUAUGGCCUCAGGUUGCCAAAUUCGCUAGAAACUCAAGGUUGAGGUGGAUUAACCAGUUGGUUCUCUCGAUAAAAAAAUAAAUGUAAUAUUAACCUUGUCCACAGGCUAUUUUCUGAUUUUGAUGUAGAGGAGAUAUUUGGCAUAAAUCACCCUUCUAUGUGAUGGAUGACGUGCUUAUAAACUUGCCACCCAACUCAAAUCCAGGUACAACUCCCCUGCUUCUAGCUCUUCAAGUGCGACAUAUAAUUGGAGUAUUUGGGAUGUGAUUUGGAGAGCUAAGGUUCCAGAGAAGGUUAAGGUCUUUGGCUGGAGGUUGCUACUGGCUCACUAGCUACACAAUUGUGUAAAUUUAUAAAGGCGCUGAGUGUAACACCAUUUGUGCUAUUUCUGGUAACUAUGUGGAGCAUGAAUUCCAAUCUCCACAGUGGCUUUGGGAUGUUGGCUAGUGUCCCAUCAAUACUUCUUUUUUUGAGGGAAUUGGUGUCCCGUCAAUACUUAAUGCCCCUCUGUCUAAUGAUUUCAAUCAGUCUAUGGUAAUAUACAAGUCUAGUGUUUUCCCUCAAUUAAGUAAAAUAAACACAACUCAGAGAUCAACUAAUUUUUACCUUAAUUUUUCUAGAAAAAAAUAGGGCGAGUUCUUCCCCUACCUUCUUCGAUGUUGAUAGCGGAGGGCGAAGUGGAGGCAACAACUACCUUCUCCGAUGCCAAUCGUGGUAAGACGUGGCCAUCGGAGACAGUAUGCUGCUUUCCUUCAUCGCCAAUCAUCAUGUUGGCUCCAGAUCUAGGAAAAAUGGCUUGUCGCCCACCCCUAGGACUCCAGAUCUGGAUGUAGUUGGUCGCCCAACUGCGACGACUCCAAAUCUGGAUGUGGUUGGUCGCCCACACCUAGGACUUCAGAUGUGGAUGGAAACACAGUAGGAGCCCACGCGGUUGUCUCAACGCAUCAUCCACCGCUCAAUAGUGGGCGGUUCAAGCGCAGUCGGCGUGGAUGUCGAGGGGAAGGGGGAACAUCUGUGAUGAGAGAGAGAGCGUGGGGGGGGAGAGAGAGAAAGAGAGGAGGGGAGGAGAGUGGCGUGUGGGUUUGUUCGUUAUAGAAAAGCUUUACCUGUAGAUUAUUAUGUGAGCCUGCAUACCACAACAAGACCUCCCGUCCUCACAUUUAAAUUGCCCCGCCCUCUCCCACGUGGUGGGCCCACUUCUCACCCUACCGCUCCCAAAAAAGCGUGUAGGAUGAGAGUUGUGCGUGUUGGUCAGUUUGCUUGCUGGAGCGAGCAAACGCCAGGGAGUCAAUGUGAGGUGCUCCCAGCAAGGAGACGAAAGACAUCAUGCAACAUGCUCCGACCGACCUUGAUUCCUACAUACAAAUAGUGAACCAUCAGAUGCCAAUGACCUUGCCUCACUGACCAGACACCAGCGGCUCCACUCCUAGACACAGGAUGUCGGUGUGAGGUACUCGUUGUUCUCCUAGAAUUCUUGUAGUUGUCCGCCCAUAUUUUUAUUCAUGUUUCUCCCUGUCAACCAAGACCCCUCUACUGAAUUUCCCUUUGGCUUGAGAAUGACAGUUGUGACCUCCAUAACAAUGCAACACUCGUCACCCGACCUCUCCUCUUUGUCCUAUGUGUCAUCCUUGCCGAUGAUAGCAAAGUGGACGAUGCCAAUGACGGUGAUAUCCGCUCUAUGCCAAGGAUAGGCACCGCAUGCGAGGGAAUAUCGGUGAUCCGACACCCAUGACACAAUCCAUAAGGAUGUGUCUUCUUUCCAUCGAAACCUUCUCUCCCAGCCGAAGAUGACACCCCUCCUCGAUCUUCUCGUCGGCAUCCACAGAAGGAACUAUCCUAAUGGUCUAUCGAGACUGAGGACACCCGAGCACCAUUCAGAUAUGCCGCCAAGAAAGGUGAUGGAGAAGCACGUUGACCAUUGCACGUGCAAGGUAGGGGGAACCCAGUUAGUAAACUGUAAUAAUGAGUUGUAGUGUGCAUCACAAUUAUUGCAUAAACACUCUUUGAUUAAUUAUAAAAAAGAGGAUAAUUCAAAACCUCAUAUAAAAUGUUAUAAAACACACUCAAAUAAUCAAUGCACUGGUAUAAUCCCGCUAAAAAAUACUGAAAUAUUUACCAUAGUUUCCUUAGGGGGUGGCCCUCUCAUUUAACUAGGCAGACAAACCCAAGAAGGAAACACUCAUGAGAGAUAUAAUCAUUUUCUAGUGAAAAAAAUAGUGUUACCAACUAAAGAAAGAACAAGCAUGCAUGUAGAACACAUGAGCAAUGAUGUACAUCUGAUUCUUUUUGAAAGAUAUACGAAGGGGCACAGAUAUCGACAUAGAAUAUGGAGUGAGUGGAUUAAAGUUGAGUGGUAGUAGAAUCAAUAUUUGUGACAUCGCACCUUUCAAAGGUUCCAAAUAGUCACCGGCUUCGUUAGUAACAAGUGUAUCUGAAUUAUCAUCUAGAAACACCAAAAGUUAUCCGAAGAUUCGUUUUCUGGUGGUAUAACAGUGUCGGGUUCAUUGAGAGAUACCGAAUCAUGUUCAUCUAGAGCGUUCGCAUCCUCCUGCGACAUGCUGACAUCUAGGUUUUGCGGGACGAAGCGGGACGCCGGGCUAGAACUUAACCCCAGGAACACGAGACCAUGCCGUGAAACUCGAAUAUUGUCUACCGAAGGCUGCAACAGUCAGCUUGAGCCUUGAGGCCACACCGAGGAAUGUUCUUCUUUCUGGGGCUGAAGAUCCUCGCUCUGCUUGUUUCCGGAAUCAUUGCUUCUCCAUGUUUGAUCGAAAUUAUGUGAGUGUCUCCUCUUUGCUGAGCACUGUCCCUCUUGCUCAUUGGGCCCAAGAGAGACGAUUUGGCACGUACCAUGAUGUGGAGCACGCACGAAAAGAGAUCCACAGGAACGGAGAACGCUAUCUAAGUAAGCUAAGUUGAGCAUCAUUAGCAUCCAGGUCGUUGUAGUAUAGUGGUAAGUAUUCCCGCCUGUCACGCGGGUGACCCGGGUUCGAUCCCCGGCAACAGCGCAUUUUUUUUUGUUUGGCGGCCCACGACAGGCCAGGCCCAUUCUUUUCGGUCGAGGCCGAUCCACUGCGAGCGCCGUAGGCGCCGCGGCGCUUGCACGGUUGCGAAGUAGGCCGGCCCAGCUAUCUUUUUGUUUAGGGUUAGCUACCUGCUGAAAGCAUUUUUUUUUGUUUGGCGGCCCACGACAGGCCAGGCCCAUUCUUUUCGGUCGAGGCCGAUCCACUGCGAGCGCCGUAGGCGCCGCGGCGCUUGCACGGUUGCGAAGUAGGCCGGCCCAGCUAUCUUUUUGUUUAGGGUUAGCUACCUGCUGAAAAACAACAUGUAAAGAAAAAUUAUAAAGUUCAUUGAGGGAGAACAGGGAAUCGAACUCACGAGAACCACGUGACUGAACACGACAUAACCACUGCACCACCGUCAGCUACUUUUUAGCUUUCGUAAAAUAGCCCUCAUUGACCUUUCCUUCAGUAUAAACAUUAAACAUAUACUAUUAUAUACCCACUAUAAAUUAUGUUUGAAUAAAGAAAAUAUAAACGUGAAAACGCAUUCAUAUAAAACAUGAAUUCAAAAGAAAAGUACACAAAAAUAGAAAAAAAAUUGUGAAUUUGAAAAAAAAUCAUCUAAUUAAAAAAAAGUUCAUCAAAUUUGAAAAAAAGUUCACCAAAAUUGAAAAGAGUUCACCGAAAUUGAAAAUUUUCAUUGAAUUUCAAAAAAAGUUCACCAUAUUUGAAAGAAGUUUAUCAAAUUUGAAAAACAAUUCACCAAAAUUGAAAUAGUUCAUCGGAUUUAAGAAAAGUUCACCAUAUUUGAAAAAAGUUCACCGAAAUUUAAAAAAGUGCAUCGACAUUGAGAAAAGUUUAUCUAAUUUCAUAAAAAGUUCAUCAAAUUUGAUAAAUAGUUCAUGAAUUUAUAAAAACCUCAUAAAUUUAGAAAAAGGUACACGAAAUUUAUAAAACGGUACAUUAAAGAAAAAAAGAAUGAGAAAAGAAAAAAGUAUAAACCAAACUGAAUAAGGAAUAUAAGAAGAGAAACGAACUUUUUGUGCACUAGCGUGGUGAUGGCGAGGUGGUUAGUGCGUAGCGGUUGGAUCAGAGAGGUUGAGCGGUCGAACUCUGCUGUGCGAGCACUUUUUGGCGUUUUCGGAAAAUAGAGAAAAAUACUCAAAUCAUUUUCGAAAAAUAGAGAAAAAUACUCGAAUGGGCCGGCCCAGUGAGGGGCGCUGCAGGUGCCAGUUUGCAAAAUACACGUUAAUGGGCGCCUGCAGCGCCAAAUAGGGUUUGCCGCGUCCGAUGGCUCGUGCUCGCCUGGCCCGUCCGGGCCUAUUUAUCGUAUGCAUCCUCGAAAAGUAUCCCGUUCGCUUUAGAGCCCUCCCAACACAUUUUGUGUCGGGCUACAAAUUUGUUGUUGCAAGGGCAAAGCAUGCGCGUGCUUAAGGACUACUAGAAUCUAGUCAUUGCCCAAAUGCUAAUGAUACUGCUGAUUUUGAUAAAAGAAACACUUUGCUUUUGGUCUGUGCGUGCUACUUUUGGUUUGUUGGUUUUGCAGCUAUAUUUGCUAGCUCAAAUUUGGAUGAACCAGCUUUACAUUUGUAGACCAAAUGAGUUAGUGUUAUAUGUUAUAUAUGCGUUCAUGUUGGUCUUUUUCUCCAACUGAGCCGGCAGAAGUUGCCUGAUUUUUGGAUUUGGCUCAGUUGAUUUAAUUGGGAAGGAAGAAGGAAGCGCAACGGGGCAUGGUGUCCACCUUUGGUGGCACCAGGGCAAGACGUCGGCAAGGCCUCGGCUAGGAACGAGCCAUAGCCGCCGGAGGCGAGUUCAAAGGUUAAUGGUUUGGGCUGCGGGCUCGCAGAGAAAUUCUAGUGGUUUGUCUGUUUAGAGGGAUGGCUAGGGUGGCACCAACACGAUGGUGAGGAGAAAGGGUGGCGGAGGCAGGCGGUUCAACCGAUGGUCAUGGACAGGUUGAGCAAGAAGGUGAAUAGGGGAGGACAGUAGGUGGAAGAAGGCCAUCUGGUCAUUGGCUGCUCAUCGGGCGGUUCAAAAAAAUCAAUCCAUCCAAAUCUUUUUUUAAUCGCCCGCCCUCUAGCAAUCCACUUUUUCCUCAUGGGUAACUGUGUCAAGAUGAUGUUUAGACCCCAAUAAGGGUUGGACUAUAUAUUUGUUUGUUUUGUUCUUCGAGUUGCAUAUAUAGAACAGAAAUAGAAUUUAAGCUAUUCUCGUCUUCACUAGAAUCAUUUAUCCAUCCAGAUCUAUGCUCAUGCAUUGUUGUUAAUGUACUUACAUUCUUCUUUCUGCAUGGGCCAUUGUCUACAACUCUUGGUUCCAUCAUCCCUAGUAUCAAUGAUCAUUGUCGAGACUAUACACACCAUUUUCUCGUUGGUCCUUUCUCAUUUCAUUCAUUAGAGCAGCUGUAGCCCUCCGUGUAGGGUCGGCGGCACGAGGAGGGGUUGUCGGUGUCGUUCCUGAUGUCCGAGUCUUCGGACGGGAUUGAUUGUUCACGUGUUAUGAAACUGGUCCUAAUUUGAUAGGUAUUUAAGAGGGAUAUUUUUUUAGAACAAAGGCUCAAGAAGAGCCCGACUUUGAAUUAACAAAGUCAUCAACUGGCCAGGAUUACAAACUCGAAACCAACACAAGAAAGAUAAGAAAAUGGCAAGAUACAAAGGCGCUGGAAAGCAGCUCACAAGCCUCAUACACACCAAGCUAAAAAGAUCGACGGGGAGAAACACAGCUCAGAGAUGAAGAGGUCCUCCACGCGACCAGAACGCCAUGGAAGAAGAAGAAUGCCCACACUGGAUCAACAUGUCCAAUGACAAAGAAGGGCACGCCGUCGCCUAAUCACCAACAACCCUGACCCUACACAUCCGCCCAGCUCCAAUGUCAAAGAAGGCCCCUGCCUUCUCUCCUGGCUCGAAAGGCGCCGCACGAUUGACAAGAGGAGCAGUUCACCAUAGAACCUGGAAGAUAGUCGCCGGCAGGCUACAUUUGAAAAGAAAACAAACUCACCCAACAAGUCACGAACACAUCACCAAGAGCAGAGCACCGCCGAAUCCCACGGACUGGUCACAAAAAGGAAGAGUUGCCGGAACGGAAAAAGAUGAGCAACAGCUAGAUCUCUCUAGAAGACAUUGAGAACCGAAGUGCAGGCACCGAAAGAGGGGCUAAUGCUCUCAUGUGCACUGAGAAGGGUCGUCGAAUGAGGGGAACCCGAACCCCUCACACCUAGGAGUAUCCACAGGCCAGACAGGGCACCCCGCAGUAGACCGGAGAGGUCCCGAAAUGAAGGAGUCAUUUAGGAAGUCGCGGUCGUCGAGGGAGAUCAGCUACAGCCGCCGCUGCACACGAAACACAUCUUUGAGAAACCCCACGCCCACCAUGCUCCCAAAACCGGCGCCUUCAGGAAGGACGUGACACCAAGGGCACCGCCGCCGCCCAACAGUGUUGGGGAUUUCUCCCGGGAGGCAAGGAGGGGAAGGGGGUAGAGGAACAGACCCGAGCGGCACCUCCAAGGAGGGGAACGGUGUUGGGGAACGUUGCGUGGGAAACAAAAAAAUUCCUACGCUCACCAAGAUCAACCUAGGAGAUGAACAUCUACGAGAGAAGAGAUUGCAUCUACAUACCCUUGUAGAUUGCUAAGCGGAAGCGUUAAGAAACGCGGUUGAUGUAGUCGAACGUCUGAUGUCUACUACACAACCUUCUUCUUGUAGACGUUGUUGGGCCUCCAAGUGCAGAGGUUUGUAGGACAGUAGCAAAUUUCCCUCAAGUGGAUGACCUAAGGUUUAUCAAUCUGUGGGAGGCGUAGGAUGAAGAUGGUCUCUCUCAAACAACCCUGGAACCAAAUAACAAAGAGUCUCUUGUGUCCCCAACACACCCAAUACAAUGGUAAAUUGUAUAGGUGCACUAGUUCGGCGAAGAGAUGGUGAUACAAGUGCAAUAUGGAUGGUAGAUAUGAGUAUUUGUAAUCUGAAAAUAUAAAGACAGCAAGGUAACAAGUGGCAAAAGUGAGCAUAAACGGUAUUGCAAUGCUAGGACACAAGGCCUAGGCUUCAUACUUUCACUAGUGCAAGUUCUCUCAACAAUAAUAACAUAACUGGAUCAUAUAACUAUCCGUCAACAUGCAACAAAGAGUCACUCCAAAGUUACUAAUAGCGGAGAGCAAACGAAGAGAUUAUUGUAGGGUACGAAACCACCUCAAAGUUAUCCUUUCUGAUCGAUCUAUUCAAGAGUCCGUAGUAAAAUAACACGAAGCUAUUCUUUUUGUUUGAUCUAUCAUAGAGUUCGUACUAGAAUAACACCUUUAGACACAAAUCAACCAAAACCCUAAUGUCACCUAGAUACUCCAAUGUCACCUCAAGUAUCCGUGGGCAUGAUUAUACGAUAUGCAUCACACAAUCUCAGAUUCAUCUAUUCAACCAACACAAAGUACUUCAAAGAGUGCCCCAAAGUUUCUACCAGAGAGUCAAGACGAAAACGUGUGCCAACCCCUAUGCAUAAGUUCAUUGAACCCGCAAGUUGAUCACCAAAACAUACAUCAAGUAGAUCACAUGAAUAUCCCAUUGUCACCACAGAUAAGCACGUCAAGACAUACAUCAAGUGUUCUCAAAUCCUUAAAGACUCAAUCCGACAAGACAACUUUGAUAACCCACAAGUAUAGGGGAUCGCAACGGUUUUCGAGGGUAGAGUAUUCAACCCAAAUUUAUUGAUUCGACACAAGGGGAGCCAAAGAAUAUUCUAAAGUAUUAGCAGUUGAGUUGUCAAUUCUACCACACCUGGAUAACUUAAUAUCUUCAGCAAAGUAGUAUGGAAGUAACAGUAACAGUAGCAAAAGUAACAAUAGCAGUUUUAUAGUAAUUGUAACAGUAGCAGCGGUAAAGUAAAUAAGCAAAGCACAAUAUGUGAAAAGCUCGUAGGCGUUGGAUCAGUGAUGGAUAAUUAUGUCGGAUGUGAUUCCUCAUGUAAUAGUUAUAACAUAGGGUGACACAGAACUAGCUCCAGUUCAUCAAUGUAAUGUAGGCAUGUAUUUCGAAUAUAGUCAUGUGUGCUUAUGGAAAAUAACUUGCAUGACAUCUUUUGUCCUACCCUCCCAUGGCAGCGGAGUCCUAAUGGAAACUAAGGGAUAUUAAGGCCUCCUUUUAAUAGAGUACCGGACGAAAGCAUUAGCACAUAGUGAAUACAUGAACUCCUCAAACUAUGGUCAUCACCGAGAAGUAUCCCGAUUAUUGUCACUUCAGGGUUGUCGGAUCAUAACACAUAAUAGGUGACUAUAGACUUGCAAGAUAGGAUCAAGAACUCACAUAUAUUCAUGAAAACAUAAUAGGUUCAGAUCUGAAAAAUCAUGGCACUCGGGCCCUAGUGACAAGCAUUAAGCAUAGCAAAGUCGUAGCAACAUCAAUCUCAGAACAUAGUGGAUACUAGGGAUCAAACCCUAACAAAACUAACUUGAUUACAUGGUAAAUCUCAUCCAACCCAUGACCGUCCAGCAAGCCUACGAUGGAAUUACUCAUGCACGGCGGUGAGCAUCGUGAAAUUGGUGAUGGAGGAUGGUUGAUGAUGACGACGGCGAUGAAUCCCCCUCUCCGGAGCCCCAAACGGACUCCAGAUCAGCCCUCCCGAGAGAGAUUAGGGCUUGGCGGCGGCUCCAUAUCGUAAAACGCGAUGAAACUUCCUCUCUGAUUCUUUUUCUCCGCGAAAGCAAACAUAUGGAGUUGGAGUUGAGGUCGGUGUACAUCCAGGGGGCCCACGAGGCAGGGGGCGCGCCCUCGGGGAGGGGGCGCGCCCGCACCCUCGUGGACAGGGUGUGGCCCCCCUGACGUUGAUUCUUCCGCUAGUAUUUUUUAUUAAUUCUGAAAAGUUGCUCCGUGGAUUUUCAGGUCAUUUCGAGAGCUUUUAUUUCUGCACAAAAAUAACACCACGGCAGUUCUGCUGGAAACAGCAUUAGUCCUGGUUAGUUCCAUUCAAAUCAUGCAAGUUAGAGUCCAAAACAAGGGCAAAAGUGUUUGGAAAAGUAGAUACGACGGAGACGUAUCAAACUUCAAGGGGAAAACUCAAUUCAUCACAAGAGAGUAGAGGGGAAGAAACAUCAUAAGAUCCAACUAUAAUAGCAAAGCUCGCGGUACGUCAAGAUCGUAUCACCUCAAGAACACGAGAGAGAGAGAUCAAACACAUAGCUACUCGUACAUACCCUCAACCCCGAGGGUGAACUACUCCCUCCUUGUCAUGGAGAGCGCCGGGAUGAUGAAGAUGGCCACCGGUGAGGGAUCCCCCCUCCGGCAGGGUGCCGGAACAGGGUAUCGAUUGGUUUUUGGUGGCUACAGAGGCUUGCGGUGGCGGAACUUCCAAUCUAUUAUGCUCCUCGAUGUUUUUAGGGUAUAUGGACAUAUAUAGGUGAAAGAAGUCGAUCAAGGGAGCCACGAGGGGCCCACGACGGUGGGGGCGCGCCCAGGGGUAGGGCGCGGCCCUGACCCUCGUGGCCACCUCGAAGCUUCCCUGACGUAUACUCCAAGUCUCCUGGAUUGCUUCCGUUCCAAAAAUGACUCUCCCGAAGGUUUCAUUCCGUUUGGACUCCGUUUAAUAUUCCUUUUCUUCGAAACACUGAAAUAGUCAAGAAAACAUCAAUUUGGGCUAGGCCUCCGGUUAGUAGGUUAGUCCCAAAAAUGAUAUAAAAGUGUAGAGUAAAGCCCAUAAACAUCCAAAACGGGUAAUCUAAUAGCAUGGAACAAUCAAAAAUUAUAGAUACGUUGGAGACGUAUCAAGCAUCCCCAAGCUUAAUUCCUACUCGUCCUCGAGUAGGUAAAUGAUAAAACAGAAUUUUAGAUGUGGAAUUCUACCUAGAAUAUUUCCCAAUGUAAUUUUUUUUAUUGUGGCAUGAAUGUUAAGAUCCAAAUGAUUCAAAAUAAAAGUUCAUAUUGACAUAACAAAUAGUAAUACUUCAAGCAUACUAACAAGUAAUCAUGUCUUCUCAAAAUAACAUGGCCAAAGAAAGUUUAUCCCUACAAAAUCAUAUAGUUAGGCUAUGCUUCAUUUUCGUCACACAAAAUACUCCCAUCAUGCACAACCCGGGUUUCAUCCAAGAAAUUGGUUCAUACUUUUUAACGCACUUCAGCCUUUUUCAACUCUCACGCAAUACAUGAGCGUAAGCCAUGGAUAUAGCACUAUGGGUGGAAUAGAAUAUGAUGAUGGAGGUUGUGUGGAGAAGACAAAAAAGGAGAAAGUCUCACAUUGACGAGGCUAAUCAACGGGCUAUGGAGAUGUCCAUCAAUUGAUGUCAAUAUGAGGAGUAGGGAUUGCCAUGCAACAGAUGCACUAGAGCUAUAAAUGUAUGAAAGCUCAAACAAAGAAACUAAGUGGGUGUGCAUCCAACUUGCUUGCUCAUGAAGACCUAGGGCAUUUUGAGGAAGCCCAUCGUUGGAAUAUACAAGCCAAGUUCUAUAAUGAAAAAUUCCCACUAGUAUAUGGAAGUGACAACAUAGGAGACUCUCUAUAUGAAGAACAUGGUGCUACUUUGAAGCACAAGUGUGGAAAAAGAUAGUAACAUUGCCCCCCCCCCCUUUUGGGCCUUUCCUUUUUUUGGCCUUUUUUUCUUUUUUUAUUGGCCUUUUUUUAUUUGGUCUUUCUUUUUUUAUAAGGGGCAAUGCUCUAAUAAUGAUGAUCAUCACACUUCUAUUUACUUACAACUCAUGAAUUACAACUCGAUACUAGAACAAAAUAUGACUCUAUAUGAGUGCCUCCGGCAGUGUACCGGGAUAUGCAAUGAAUCAAGAGUGACAUGUAUGAAAAUUAUGAAGGUGGCUUUGCUACAAAUAAGAUGUCAACUACAUGAUCAUACCAAAGCAAUAUGACAAUGAUGAUGUGUGUCAUGAUAAACAGAACGGUGGAAAGUUGCAUGGCAAUAUAUCUCGGAAUGGCUAUGGAAAUGCCAUAAUAGGUAGGUAUGGUGGCCAUUUUGAGGAAGAUAUAAGGAGGUUUAUGUGUGAUAGAGCAUAUCGUAUCACGGGGUUUGGAUGCACUGGCGAAGUUUGCACCAACUCUCAAGGUGAGAAAGGGCAAUGCACGGUACCAAAGAGGCUAGCAAUGAUGGAAGGGUAAGAGUGCGUAUAAUCCAUUGACUCACAUUACUCAUAAAGAACUCAUAUACUUAUUGCAAAAGUUUUAUUAGCCCUCGAAGCAAAGUACUACUACGCAUGAUCCUAGGGGGGAGGUUGGUAGGAGUUAACCAUCGCGCGCCUCGACCUCCACACAUAAGGACGGCAAUCAAAAGAGCACCCCAUGCAACAAAUUUGUUACACAACUUUUACCAUACGUGCAUGCUACGGGACGUGCCAACUUCAACACAAGUAUUUCUCAAUCUCAUAAUUACCCAACUAGCAUGACUCUAAUAUUACCAUCUUUAUAUCUCAAAACAAUUAUCAAGCAUCAAAUUGAUCAUAGCAUCCAAUUCACUUUCUCUGAUAGUUUUUAUUAUACCCAACUUGGAUGCCCAUCAUUCUAGGACCAAUUUUAUAACCAUAGCAAAUACCAUGUUGUUCUAAAAGACUCUCAAAAUAAUAUAAGUGAAGCAUGAGAGAUUAACAAUUUCUACAAAAUAAAACUGUCGCCGUGCUCUAAAAAUAUAUAAGUGAAGCACUAGAGCAAUAUUGUCUAGCUCAAAAGAUAUAAGUGAAGCACAUAGAGUAUUCUAAUAAACUCCGAAUCAUGUGUGUCUCUCCCAAAAUGUGUGUACAUCAAGGAUUAUUGUGGUAACUAAAAAGCAAAGACUCAUAUCAUACAAGACGCUCCAAGCAAAACACAUAUCAUGUGGUGAAUAAAAAUAUAGCUCCAAGUAAAGUUACCGAUAGACGAAGACGAAAGAGGGGAUGCCAUCUGGGGCAUCCCCAAGCUUAGGCUCUUGGUUGUACUUGAAUAUUACCUUGGGGUGCCUUGGGAAUCCCCAAGCUUAGGCUCUUUCCACUCCUUAUUCCAUAGUCCAUCGAAUCUUUACCCAAAACUUGAAAACUUCACAACACAAAACUCAGCAGAAAACUCGUAAGCUCCGUUAGUAUAAGAAAAUAAUUCACCACUUAGGUAUUGUUGUGAACUCAUUAUAAAUUCAUAUGGGUGUAAUAUCUACUUUAUUACAACUUCUCUAUGGUUCAUACCCUCUGAUACUACUCAUAGAUUCAUCAAAAUAAACAAACAACACAUAGAAAACAGAAUCUGUAAAAAAAUUGAACAGUCUGUAGUAAUCUGUAUCAUUCGAAUACUUCUGUAACUCCAAAAAUUCUACCAAAUUAUGAAAACCUGAGUCAUUUGUGUACCAAUCCAUAUCAAAAAGAAUUAGAUCAAAAUCACGUUUCUGUGAAUUAUCAAAACUAAUUUACUGGUUGCGAAAGUUUCUGAUUUUCAGCAGGAUCAAUACAACUAUCACCCUAAGCUAUCCUAAAGGUCUUACUUGGCACUUUAUUGAAACAAAAGCGAUAAAACAUUAUUACUACAGUAGUAUAAUCAUGUGGACACACAAAAACAGUAAAGGUAAAUAUUGGGUUGUCUCCCAACAAGCGAUUUUCUUUAAUGCCUUUUAGCUACGCAUGAUGGUUUCAAUGAUGCUCGCAUAAAAGAGAGCAUAAUGAAGCAUAUUACUAACACAUUUAAGUCUAACACACUUCCUAUGCAUAGGGAUUUUGUGAGCAAACAACUUAUGGGAACAAUAAUCAACUAGCAUAGGAAGGCAAAACAAGCAUAACUUCAAGAUUUUAAGCACAUAGAGAUGAGACUUGAUAUUAUUGCAAUUCCUACAAGCAUAUGUUCCUCCCUCAUAAUAAUUAUCAGUAGCAUCAUGAAUGAAUUCAACAAUAUAACCAGCACCUAAAGCAUUCUUUUCAUGAUCUACUUGCAUAGAAAUUUUACUACUCUCCACAUAAGCAAAAUCUUCUUAUUCGGAAUAGUGGGAGUAUCAUAAGAGACUCGAAUACUAUAAAUUGUUUCCACAUUAAAAGAGUAGUGUUCAGAAAAAGGGUAAUCAUAAUCAUGACAAGUUUUAUAAAUAUAAUCAUCACUACUUUUUAUAGCAUAAGUUUCAUCACAAUAAUCAUCAUAAGUAGCAACUUUGUUCUCAUCAUAAUCAAUUGAAACCUCUUCCAAAAUAGUGGAUUCACCACUAAAUAACGUCAUGACCUCUCCAAAUCCACUUUCAUAAAUAUCAAAAUAAGAUUCAGCAUUCUCCAAAAUAGUGGGAUCAUUACUUCCUAAAGUUGACACUCUUCCAAACCCACUUUCAACAAUAUAAUCAUCAUAAGUAGGAGGCAUGAUAUCAUCAUAACAACUUUUCAUAUCAAAACUUGGGAGGCUAAAAAUAUCACCUUCAUUAAACUUAGCAUCCCCAAGCUUGGGACAAACAUUAAUUGUAGCAAAUAUAUUUUCAAACAUGUCAUUCUCAUCAAACAUAGCAUCCCCAAGCUUGGGCCUUUUCAUAUCAUAAGCAUAAUCACACUCAUCAUUAAUAAUAUGGAUAGCACCAAUAGUAUAGCAAUUAUCAUCAUCACAAUGAGUAAUAGGAGCAACAUCAUUUGGGAGGGAUAGCUUUCUACCUUUGCUUCUUCGUCUCUUCUUUUUCUUCUUCACAUCAUGUGUGGGUUUAACCCUCUUUUUGGAGCUCCUUAUUAAUGAGAUUGGUUGAAUAGAAAGCUCUUCCUCGUUACUUGAUUCAUCAUAAGAAAUAAUAGGAGGAUAUUGGGAAGUCUCUUCCCUUUCAUUAGUAUUCUCUUCAUCUUCUAUUUGCUUUCUUGUAGAUUGCUGAAUAUGAUAUGUUUGAUUCCAUGCAAUAGUUUUGCGAUAUGAAGAUGGUGAUAUUAGAGUCAUGCUAGUGGGUAGUUGUGGAUUGUAGAAAUACUUGUGUUGAAGUUCAUGAUUCCCGUAGCAUGCACGUAUGGUGAACCGUUAUGUAACGAAGUUGGAGCAUGAGGUAUUUAUUGAUUGUCUUCCUUAUGAGUGGUGGUCGGGGACGAGCGAUGGUCUUUUCCUACCAAUCUAUCCCCCCAGGAGCAUGCGCGUAGUACUUUGUUUCGAUGACUAAUAGAUUUUUGCUAUAAGUAUGUGAGUUCUUUAUGACUUAUGUUGAGUCCAUGGAUUAUAUGCACUCUCACCCUUCCAUCAUUGUUAGCCUCUUCGGUACCGUGCAUUGCCCUUUCUCACCUCGAGAGUUGGUGCAAACUUCGCCGGUGCAUCCAAACCCCGUGAUACGAUACACUCUAUCACACAUAAGCCUCCUUAUAUCUUCCUCAAAACAACCACCAUACCUACCUAUCAUGGCAUUUCCAUAGCUAUUCCGAGAUAUAUUGCCAUGCAGCUUCCAUCAUGAUCAUAUACAUGACUUGAGCAUUCAUUGUCAUAUUACUUUGCAUGAUCGUAAGAUAGCUAUCAUGAUAUUUUCAUGGCUUGCCCGUUUUUUGAUGUCAUUGCUAUGCUAGAUCAUUACACAUCCCGGUACACCGCCGAAGGCAUUCUUAUAGAGUCAUAUCUUUGUUCUAGAUAUCGAGUUGUAAUAUUGAGUAGUAAGUAAAUAUAAGUGUGAUGAUCAUCAUUAUUAGAGCAUUACCCCAUGAAAAAAAGAGAGGCCGAAGAAGCCUAAAUAAAAAGAGGGGGGGCAAAGAAGCCCGCCAAAAAAAGAGAAAAAAAGGGGGCAAUGUUACUAUCCUUUUACCACACUUGUGCUUCAGAGUAGCACCAUGUUCUUCAUAUAGAGAGUCUCCUAUAUUGUCACUUUCAUAUACUAGUGGGAAUUUUCAUUAUAGAACUUGGCUUGUAUAUUCCGAUGAUGAGCUUCCUCAAAUGCUUGAGGUCUUCAUGAGCAAGCAAGUUGGAUGCACACCCACUUAGUUUCCAGUUUGAGCUUUCAUACACGUAUAGCUCUUAGUGCAUCCGUUGCAUGGCAAUCCCUACUCCUCGCAUUGACAUCAAUUGAUGGGCAUCUCCAUAGCCCGUUGAUUAGCCGCGUCUAUGUGAGACUUUCUCCCUUUUUGUCUUCUCCACACAACCUCCACCAUCAUAUUCUAUUCCACCUAUAGUGCUAUGUCCAUGGUUCACGCUCAUGUAUUGCGUGAAAGUUGAAAAGGUUUGAGAAUGUCAAAAGUAUGAAACAAUUGCUUGGCUUGUCAUCGGGGUUGUGCAUGAUUUGAAUAUUUUGUGUGGUGAAGAUGGAGCAUAGCCAGACUAUAUGAUUUUGUAGGGAUAACUUUCUUUGGCCAUGUUAUUUUGAAAAGACAUGAUUGCUUUAUUAGUACGCUUGAAGUAUUAUCAUUUUUUUGUCAAAUGAUAGACUAUUGCUUUGAAUCACUCGUGUCUUAAUAUUCAUGUCAUGAUUAGAUAUAUGAUUAAGAUUAUUCUAGGUAGCAUUCCACAUCAAAAAUUAUCUUUUUAUCAUUUACCUAUUCGAGGAUGAGCAGGAAUUAAGCUUGGGGAUGCUGAUACGUCUCCGUCGUAUCUAUAAUUUUUGAUUGCUCCAUGCCAAUAUUAUUCAACUUUCAUAUACUUUUGGCAACUUUUUAUACUAUUUUUGGGACUAACAUAGUGAUCUAGUGCCCAGUGCAAGUUCCUGUUUGUUGCAUGUUUUAUGUUUCACAGAAAACUAAUAUCAAACGGAGUCCAAACGGGAUAAAAACGUACGGAGAAUAUUUUUAGAAUAUUUGUGAUAUUUGGGAAGAAAAAUCAACGCGAGACGGUACCAGAGGGGGCCACGAGGCAGGGGGCGCGACCUAGGGGGGCGGGCGUACCCCACACCCUCGUGGGCACCCCGUAAGGCGGCUGCUGCUCUUCUUGGGCCGCAAGAAAGCUAAUUUUUAGAAGAAGAAAAAUCUUGGUGAAGGCUUCAGUACAAUCGAAGUUACGAAUCUCCGGAUAUAUAAGAAACGGUGAAAGGGCAGAAUCAAGAACGCAAAAACAGAGAGAGACAGAGAGACAGAUCCAAUCUCGGAGGAGCUCUCGCCCCUCCCAUGCCAUGGAAGCCAAGGACCAGAUGGGAAACCCUUCUCCCAUCUAGGGAGAAGGUCAAGGAAGAAGAAGAAGAAGAAGAAGAAGGGGGGGCUCUCUCCCCCUCGCUUCCGGUGGCGCCGGAACACCGUCGGGGCCAUCAUCAUCACCGUGAUCUACACCGACAACUUCACCGCCUUCAUCACCAACUCUUCCCUCCUCUAUGCAGCGGUGUAAACCCUCUUUUACCCGAUGUAAUCUCUACUUAAACAUGGUGCUCAACGCUAUAUAUUAUUUCCCAAUGAUGUAUGGCUAUCUUAUGAUGUUUGAGUAGAUCCGUUUUGUCCUAUGGGUUAAUUGAUGAUCGUGAUUGGUUUGAAUUGCAUGUUUUAUUGUUGGCGCUAUCCUAUUGUGCCCUGCAUGUCGCGCAAGCGUGAGGAAUUCCCGCAGUAGGGUGUGGCAAUAUGUUCAUGAUUCGCUUAUAGUGGGUUGCUUGAGUGACAGAAGCAUAACCCGAAUAAGGGGGUUCUGGCGUAUGGGAUAAAGGGGACUUGAUGCUUUAAUGCUAUGGUUGGGUUUUACCUUAAUGAUCUUUAGUAGUUGCGGAUGCUUGCUAGAGUUCCAAUCAUAAGUGCAUAUGAUCCAAGAAGAGAAAAUAUGUUAGCUUAUGCCUCUCCCUCAAAAAAAUUGCAAUAGUCAUUACCGGUUUAGUUAUCGAUUGCCUAGGGAUAAAUAACUUUCUCGUGACAAAAAGCUCUCUAUUAAAACUAACUUAGUUGUGUCUUCAUCUAAACAGCCCCUACUUUUUAUUUAUGUGCUCUUUAUUAUCUUGCAAACCUAUCCUAUCAUACCUGCAAAUUCCUUAUAGUUCCUUACUUGUUCUAGGUAAAGCGAACGUCAAGCGUGCGUAGAGUUGUAUCGGUGGUCGAUAGAACUUGAUGGAAUAUUUGUUCUACCUUUAGCUCCUCAUUUGGUUCGACACUCUUAUUUAUCAAAAGAGGCUACAAUUUAUCCCCUAUACUUGUGGGUUAUCACGCCACCAGACCUUUUUGCCCUCCAUGCAGUCACGUUCUAGGGCACCAUGUCCUCCAAGCCCUCCUCGUCCGCGCUUUAGGGCACGACGGAGCGGAUGUGCGCCCUCNNNNNNNNNNNNNNNNNNNNNNNNNNNNNNNNNNNNNNNNNNNNNNNNNNNNNNNNNNNNNNNNNNNNNNNNNNNNNNNNNNNNNNNNNNNNNNNNNNNNNNNNNNNNNNNNNNNNNNNNNNNNNNNNNNNNNNNNNNNNNNNNNNNNNNNNNNNNNNNNNNNNNNNNNNNNNNNNNNNNNNNNNNNNNNNNNNNNNNNNNNNNNNNNNNNNNNNNNNNNNNNNNNNNNNNNNNNNNNNNNNNNNNNNNNNNNNNNNNNNNNNNNNNNNNNNNNNNNNNNNNNNNNNNNNNNNNNNNNNNNNNNNNNNNNNNNNNNNNNNNNNNNNNNNNNNNNNNNNNGAUGGCCUGGAGGUGCAGAUCGCGCUUUCGUCCGUUGGGGAUAUCAUCAUCCCCGAGCUGGAGGAGGCAGACGACUCGGAACCCUGGUGGAACCCGACAGUGGUGGGCCAGUCCUGGUCGUGAACUUCGACCCUGUCGUGCACGUCGGAGUUGGCGUCUGCGCCACACUUGUUGGUUGGCACCGACACAUGAUCACCGCUCCAUGUGCCACCGCCGCCCCUUGUUGUGCAACCGCCGCAGUCGCCACCAGCUCACCUAUGGCAGCCGCCUCCCUUCGUCAACCUCAGCGUAGACGAGGAAUAGGGCAACCAAGACGGUGGUGACGCCAUGCAGUGAAGACGGCGACGACGUCUUGUUCUUUUUUAUAAUAAUUUUGAGUUUAAGUUGAUGCAUGAUGAAUAGUUCGGCCAUGACUUUUGGACGUUAAUGUAAUAUAUAAUUAUCGUUUAGAUUAUUUUUAUCUCCUUUUUUGUUUGAAUUGUAGUUUAAAUCUGAAUGCUUUCACCAAAUGUGACGGCCAGUCGGGUGCGACAACCGGCGGACGACCGCAAAUGGACGCUUGUGGCCACUUUGCCGACCUAAACGGACAGAAUCCGGAUAAAACAAACGUCUGUUUGGGGUCGUCCAACAACUGUUGGAGUAGGCCUUAAAACACACAGCCAUAGAGCAGGUCUUAGAGCAUCUCCAGCCGCGCCCCAACUUGCCCCCCAAGGCCCUUUUUUGUCGCCGGCGGAGAAAAUUCGGCCCAGUCGCACCCACAUAAGCCCAAUUUUCACUGGUUAGGGCCGAUUUUGGCGUCGGUGGACCCAGGCCGAACCCGGCGCACUGGGGGGCGUCCGGGGGCAACGGGGGAAACAUUUUUUUGCGUGAAAAGGAGUGGGUCCUCCAAGUCAGUGAAUCGCCGGCUUCGUCGUCCUCAUCGCUUCGGUUCCCACGGGAAUCAAUGCCAAGGCCGCCACGCCGGUCAGCCUUCCAUUGAUGCCUCACGGGCGGCGCAGUGAAGGCAUGGCGACACGCGUCCCCUCCCGCCACGCGGCACACGGUGGCAGCUCUCCCACCGCCCAUCUGCAGCUAUAAGCCUUCUUCCCUCGCUGGUGAACGCACAAACUCUCGCCACCGACGCCCUUCUCUCUACCUCUCGCCGCCGAUGCCUCUCUCACCCACUCUCUCCCGCGCCAACGUCAAUGGUCGAGCACUUUCCAGGCGACGACGCAGCGGCGAACGGCUUCGGUCGCCGCCAUCUGCAUGAGGUUGAGGCGUGCCUCCUCUACGAGGCCAACUACCCGGUGCCCCCGAACAUGUGGGUGCCGGGCGCCUGGAGGCUCAGUGUUGGCGGCGUCCCGGUGCCGCCUGCGCCAACCGGAGCGGCCCGGCGAGCCAAAAUCCGGUCAUCGCUGCCGGAGCCACAGCGGAAUCAGCCGAGGUACGACCCCGACAGCAACACGAUGUGGACGGCGUACUUCGAGCGGCGCCACGAGGAGCAGAUUGCCGCCACCAACGGCGUCGAGCCCCGCAGCCGCCACAACUCCGAGGGGAGGCGCCGAUGGUGGAGCGUCCCAGGCCGAACCCUCGAGGCUGUCCUUGAGCACAUUGAGGCCUGGGGUACCCGGCGCCCCCUCCUUCUCUCGCCGCCGCGGCAGCUCCUGGAUGCCACGGCGAAUGGAGACGGCGACAUCAUCAUCGUCGGGCUCUGGCUCUCUGUCCUCCAGCUCGCCGGCACUUCGGCCCGUCAAGCCGGAGCUGCAGGAGACGCCACUAGGGCGUCGCGCACGCGACGCCCUUGUCAUCAACGAGGGCGGCCGCCCCUCUCCUUCCUACCGCCUCGUCCGGCCGAAGACCGAGCCAGGUUUGCUCCCCGUGAAGAAGGAGCACGAGGCCAUGCUCGCCGCCUACGAGACCGCCUACAUCUGCAAGUAGGGAUUAAGGCAUAGGUGGAUUCUUUCUGCUUAGUCUCGAAGAAGAAAAGCAAUCCAGAUUGAGAAUUUCCCUCUUUAGAUCUCCAACAUUGCAGAUAAUAAUAGAGGGUGUCGGUCACCGAUUCUCAAUAUGCUCUGAAAUUCAUAUGUGCUCUGCUUUUAUUUUUCUGUCAGCAUGGACACUUACCAGAUACAGUAUUUGUUUGAGAAAUACUAGGCGAUUUUGGUGUGUAAUCUGUAUGAACAAAGAUCUACAAGAAACUUCAACAAGCCGUCUAUCUAGCGCGUAUUAUAUACAUAUAUAACUUCCCCAUAUAAUUUAUAUCCAGUUUUUUCAUCAUUGUUGAUCUUAUUCUGAACUUCUCAGGAGCGACAACUCAAUGCGAUUAGUACCUUUGUUCAGUUCAGUGUAUGAUGGGAACAUAGUGUGGCGUUGAUGUCCUAACGACACGCAUCACUCAUGUUUUUUAGAAUCUUGGUAGUUCAUCUUGGUAACUCCUGUUCCUUUUUAUACAGUUAUACCUUGUUUCGCAUGCCUAACCUUUUUCUUGAAUUUGCUGCGUCGAACAGGGAGAGCGCCAUCGUGCAAAUAAUGGCCAACAGGACAUGUUCUUCUUCUGUCUCCUCACUCUUUGCUUCAUCUCGGCCACAAGGAUGGGCAGAGCUCCCGGACGACCUGCUCCGACCCGUUGUCGCUCUACUACGUUCGUUCCGUGACCUCCUCGCCUUCGGUACCACUUGUCGUCAUUGGUGUGAUCUCCUCUCAGCACACAGGUCCUCUGUCCAGCCUCUGCUCCUCCACCCCAAUCUCCGUACCGACGGUGGACAGGCUCUCUCGCAUAACUGUUGGACCUUAUUCCACAAAUGCACAUGGAGAUUGGGUGACCCUGCUGCCACCUCAUCCUCUCGCAGUUUUCUCUCCUCGAGUGACCUCAGAAGCAUGACCUUUCUGCGCUACUCCUAUGGUCAGCUCAUCUUCUAUGACAACAAUGGGUUCCAUAUUGUUAAUCCAUUCAGUGGCGCUAAGCUUGGCCCUCCUUCCCUACAGUCAAUUCACUUCACUUGCAUCAGCUAUGUCACCUUAACUGCCCCUGUUGCAUCCGCUGAUUCGCAUCUCCUUGUCGGUGCUGGAGCCUAUCUGUUCCUGUGGCGCAUCGGGAGCGACUCUUGGACAAAACACAGCCCUAAAGUUGGUCGUUUUUCGAUUGAACAAAAUGUGACCUUCAAGGGCAAGACAUAUGCCCUAGGGUCUUUCGGGUGGUUCUACAUCAUUCACUUGUCACCCAGUCUCAUUGUUGAGAAGUUUAAAGUUGUGUUCGAGGAAGAUAAAACCGAAGAUCUCUAUUCGGCAAAUGAAAAAGCAUGGCUAGUGGUGUGUGGUGACACGCUUCUCUUGAUCAAACUUGUGGAGGCGGGAAGACGGAUGCGCUCGGAGGCCUUCCAGUUCAUGCCCUUCAAGCUUGAGUCAUUGGACACCAUGACCAAGAAGGCAAGGUGGGUGAAAGUGAACAAGUUAGAUAACUGGGCCAUCUUUAUCAGCGUUGACGAGCGGUGCGAGGCGUUGCCGUGCAUGAACCCGGAGGGAUCGGGAGGAAGGAGCAACCACAUAUACUUCCCAAGUUAUCAGUCUGAAAAACCUUGGGCUGCAGUCCAACUAUGGAAAAAAUGUUAUUACCAUUCGACACAGCUCUUCAACACUGGAAGACGUUACCUGAAAUUGGAGUCAACCUGGGUCUUCCCCGCGCGUUUCCUUGUUACGUCCUGCGAUGAUCUUACGGCCGUGAGUGCGGUUGAUGAUUAGCUUCUGAUACAGCUUUGGUGGGAGGAUUCUACUAUGUUGCAGUAGCAAGAUUAGUUCACUGAAUGUUCUUGACGUGUUUCAAAACUUGCAUUACAAACAGAAGUGUAGAUUAAGUUAUUAGAUUGUGUACUUUCCUCUUUUUUUCUGCGGCAAUUACAAGGGACCCAUAUGUUUUAUUUCUCAUUUAUUACAGAUUGUGGAGUUUUCUUGUACCUGGGAACUUGAUAACAUGGGCUAGGCCUGUAACUUCCCUUUCAUACAUAGAUAAGACAUCAGGUUAAUAUAGACUGCAAGUUCAGCCAACAAACAUAUAAGCAGCAUAUAUGCAUUCAUCAUAAAGUUUAUAGUUUGCACCAACAAAAAUUAGGCAGACCGAGUGUUCGACAACCAAACAGAUCUGCAUUUGAACAUAGCUUCAGCAAACAGCUUUGUGUGCAUUUGAUUGUCUCUGUUUAAAAGGAGAUCAAGCUACAAAUAGAUGUAUGGACCAAACAAAGCACAUAACUAAAAUAAAAGCCCAGGCACAUCUGACAUGGUGCACACAAAAAAUGCUGAAGAGUGAUAUGAAGACUCAAGAAGCUAGUAUUGUUUCAAGAUGCAAACCCUUAUCUCUUGUAUGCAAAACGGGAGUAAUUAACAAGGUUCAGCUAAAACAGCAACAUGUAGCACAAGUUUUGCCUCCAGGAAUGUACACUGGGUGGCAAACAGAGAUUAUUACAAAUCUUUUUUGAAAGGAAUUAUUACAAAUCUUGAUGUACUCCGUCAAAGGAGCGGAAACUAGAAGGAACAUAGCGACAAAAAAGUCCCCAAGUGCAGCCAACGACAACAAGACAACUGCACGGUACAACGACACGUUCUCAUAUCCAAGCUGCAAAGGAUGUAGGAUUGCGAGCAAGAUGAGCAUUGAUCGUUGCAAAACAAGGUUCUGGCUCCAACUCCUCAUGUUGGUUGCCGUCUACUGGGUAUGAAAAUACUCGAGCGUUUUCAUCCAACUGAUAGACAAGGCCACCCCUUAAACCCAUUCUCUCUGGGUUCACUAAGAGUCGUGGCUGUCCAGUACGUUUUUCGCCCAAGAAGAACGCCCACUUCUUCAAGCCUCCCUCUUCCACGAUCACAUACUUUGCAGGUUCAGUUGAGAAGUCAAUGGAGAAGACUUCCCCGUUACGACCAAGUAGGAGAAGUGUGUCUUCACAAGCCACCAAAUUUCCGGAAAGCACGUACGGGUCCAUAUAAUCUCUGCAAUCAAGUCUUAGUAGCUCAACAUGAAUCUGAGGUGUCAAAUGCACGGUGUAUAGUUUUUGACGCAUCCUCAUAAUGACCCGGCCUUUGAAGAACACCAUCUCCUUGAUCAAAUGUGCAUUUAGAAAAUCGCAGUGCAACCAAGAGGGGCUCCCAACUCGCCAAGCAUACAGGCAGUGCGGGCUGCUGACAAAUAGAUAUGAAUCUGGUGACGCCUCUGGAGAUAUGAAGGUUCUGUAGCAUAGUUGACUCAAUGGAAAAGGUGGAGCUGCAACCGUAGUGCCAGUGAGCACGUCCAUAAUGACAAGGGAUCUCUCGUAGCAGAAAAUAGCAUGACCAUAAGAACAUUUGACGACUGCCAUUUUGUCCAAAAUACUUGGAGGGGUCAAGCGACACAACGGAGUACUUGGAUAUACAGGAUCAAUGAGCUCCCAUGUGUUUCCAAUGUUAGAGCCAGCUGAGCUUGUCUGAUCGGCACAGUUCCGGAAAAUAACAGGUGGGAAGAGCUCGCCUAAGGUAGAUUUGAUUGACAUGAAUGCGGCAUACCAGCUAGGGCAGGUGGCGAUGAAUGCAAGAAGGUCACGAGUUGAACCCAACAUGACAAUGAUGGAGUGCAAUAAUCCAUGUGGUAGGUCCGCCCAGCCUUCGGGUCCAAACAUGACACGAUGCACGGAGAUGGGGGUGACGGAGCUCCGGUUGAUGUUUUGCAUGAUAUCAGCUUCAAAUUCUGCAUUAAGGAUCAUGAAAGGACAACAAUUUUAGCAAUGGACCUGAGUUAACUAUAUAAUAUAUAUUGCUAUCACUAUUUUAAUUAAAUUGGUACUGCUACAGCUAUGAUAAUUAUAUACAAACACAAUAAAAAUGUUUGUAGAAACUAUAAAUAUAAUACACAGUAGAGAAAGACUACAGUAUUGCCAUCGAAAUGUGCAUCUGCCUCAAGGAAAUUCGAUCAUGAUAAAAUUCAUCAACGGUUGAAAAGAAAAGGCAAGUUCUGUAUUUUUCUUUCCACCGAAUGUUAUUUAUAUGUGUUGCGCAACAGGUUUGGCUCUUGUCUCCACCUCGAUUCCGGGCCCACAGAUACGCGAUAAAUUUCAUCAACAUUUGAAAUUAAAAAGUGUAAACAAUAUUGAAAUUCUAAGAUUGUUCUACACUGAUAGUGGUAAACCCUUGAACUAUUUCAUAUUUUCAUAUAGUAUAAACACAACAGGAUCGCACAUCCACCAACAACACAUACACUCAGAUCCCCAAAUCAUCCAUGGCAGAGUCAGGCUAACAAGAACAAAAGUGCGAUGAGCGCGUAGAGGUUGCCCACAGUGGGGGUUAUGACGGGCCAAGGAAGAUGAUCCUGGGCAGCCUUGCGCGGUUGAGAACUCUGUCUGAUUGUGGACCGUGGCACCGGUCAGCAAAUAUAUAUACUCGGCCAACCCAUGAGACCAUGGAAAUUGACUUAACCUAGAUCACAUUGUAUACUAUAUAUUUGGACUCAAGCUUGACGCAAACACGUGAACUCCUAGUAGUACAUGUACAUGACUUUGGUUAGUUCCCAAAGAAAUAAAGCCACGUGACAUGCAAGCACCAACUACAUCAUGUUCCAAACAAAACAAUCAAGAUUAUGCUAACACUAGCGUCGGCCACUGCACCACCAAUGGCUGUCAUGGGUUCCCAACUCCAGUAGGAGGUGGGGAAAGUCUCGUCGACGAUACCGGCAAUCAUUCCAAAGCUGCUUGUAUGUACAACUCAGAGCAAGGGGGUAGAACUCGACAUCAACUUGGUUCCUUCCCUUGCCGGGGCUGAACCCGGAGGGCGGAGGUGAUUCAAGGCCAGGCCUCCUCCGUGAGUCCGGCAGCAGCAAGGAAAAUGAAGUGGGCAAAGUCAACCUCAACAAGGCUCCUCCCCUACCCCUGGAGCCAGUAACAUGAAAGCCAAGCACCACAAAGACAAGAAUAGACACAAGGGUAAGCCAGGAAAGUAAGUUGAUCAAUCCCUGGUGAACACCCGGGCGGUGUUGGGUAAAUGCAUGGGACGUGACAGUGAGUCUUGUAGUGAGUUUGUGGCGACACCUAGUUACAAGGGUCCUGGUCUGAACAAGAAGGCAUGAGGUGAGGGUAAUGGAGGUGGCAUGAGCAACAUAGGUGUGUUAGGCGGUAAGGAAGCUAUCGGCCCAUUGGUUGCCGAUGAAUGACAUGUGAUAAGGAAGGCACCUAUCAGGAGAAAUGAGUCGCCUGAUCUAGAAUUGUUGGGGCCUCGGGCAGUCUCGGAUAUUUGAAGAGCUAGUUUGCCUCGUGCACGCGUAUACCACUUGAUGAUCGUUUUACAUUCUGAAACUCAGCAAUGUGAAAGGAGUUUCAAUAAUCUUAAGUGGAUGCUAGGCCGCCAGAAUUGUAUUGUGCAUGAUGGUAAGGGCAAGGGUGUGUUGCGUUGUUGUGAGAUAAAUGAACUAAAAUAAAAAGAUUGCCAUAUACCUGAGGUACAUCAAUGUCUUAAUUCAUGAUGAUUCCCAUGGACCGAAGGGAAAGAGUACCGUCGCCGAAGGGAACUACUAAAAUCCCUGGCCGAUGACUGCACUAAGCUGAGAGUGCUGCAAUAGGAUGUUUGGUCCUGGACAUUAAAGAUUUUGGGUCCAUGAUAAGCAGUACUCACUGGCUGAGAAGGAAUAUUGUAGUGUCCCAUCAAUACUUCUUUUUUGAAGGAAUUGGUGUCCCAUCAAUACUUAAUGCCCCCAUGUCUAAUGAUUGCAAUCAGUAUAUGGUAAUAUACAAGUCUAGUGUUUUCCCUCAAUUAAGUAAAAUAAACACAACUCGAAGAUCAACUAAUUUUUACCUUAAUUUUUCUAGAAAAAAAUAGGGCGAGUUCUUCCCUUACCUUCUUUGAUGUUGAUAGCGGAGGGCGAAGUGGAGGCAACAACUAAAUUCUCCGAUGCCAGUCGUGGCAAGACGUGGCCAUCAGAGAUAGUAUGCCGCUUUCCUCCAUCGCCAAUCAUCAUGCUGGCUCCAGAUCUAGAAAAAAUGGUUGGUCGACCACACCUAGGACUCCAGAUCUGGAUGUAGUUGGUUGCCCAACUGCGGUGACUCCAAAUCUGGAUGCAGUUGGUCGCCCACACCUAGGACUCCAGAUAUGGAUGGAAACACAGUAGGAGCCCACACGGUUGUCUCAACGCAUCAUCCACCGCUCAAUCAUGGGCGGUUCAAGCGCAGUCUCGGCGUGGAUGUCGAGGGGAAGGGGGAACGUGUGUCACGAGAGAGGGAGCGGGGGGGAGGGAGAGAAAGAGAGGAGAGGAGGAGACUGGCGUGUGGGUUUGUUCGUUAUAGAAAAGCUUUACCUAUAGAUUAUUAUGUGAGCCUGCAUACCACAACAAGACCUCCCGUCCUCACGUUUAAAUUGCCCCGCCCUCUCCCACGUGGUGGGCCCACUUCUCACCCUACCGCUCCCAAAAAAGCGUGUAGGAUGAGAGUUGUGCGUGUUGGUCAGUUUGCUCGGUGGAGCGAACAAACGCCACGGAGUCAAUGUGAGGUGCUCCCAGCAAGGAGACAAAAGACACCAUGCAACAUGCUCCGACCGGCCAGGAUUCCUGCAUACAAAUAGUGAACCAUCAGACACCAAUGACCUUACCUCACUCACCAGACACCCGCGACUCCACUCCUAGACACAGGAUGUCGGCGUGAGGUACUCGAUGUUCUCCUAGAAUUCUUGUAGUUGUUCGCCCAUAUUUUUAUUCUUGUUUCUCCUUGUCAACCAAGACCCCUCUACUGAAUUUCCCUUUGGCUUGAGAAUGACGGUUGUGACCUCCAUAACAAUGCAACACUCGUCACCCGACCUCUCCUCUUUGUCCUAUAUGUCGUUGUUGCCGAUGAUAGCAAAGUGAACGAUGCCAAUGACGGUGAUAUCCGCUCUAUGCCAAGGACAGGCACCGCAUGCGAGGGAAUAUCGGUUAUCCGACACCCACGACACAAUCCAUAAGGACGUGUUUUCUUCCCAUCGAAACCUUCUCUCCCAGCCAAAGAUGGCGCCCCUCCUCAAUUUUUUUGUCGGCAUCCACAGAAGCAACUAUCCUAGUGGUCUAUCGAGACCAAGGACACCCGAGCACCAUUCAGAUAUGCUACCAAGAAAGGCGAUGGAGAAGCACGUUGACCAUCAAACGUGCAAGGUAGGGGGAACCUGGUUUAGUAAACUGUAAUAACGAGUUGUAGUGUGCAUCACAAUUAUUGCAUAAACACUCUUUGAUUAAUUAUAAAAAAGUGGAUAAUUCAAAACCUCAUAUAAAAUGCUAUAAAACACACUCAAAUAAUCAAUGCACUGGUAUAAUCCUGCUGAAAAAUACUGAAAUAUUUACCAUAGUUUUCCUAGGGGGUGGCCCUCUCAUUUAACUAGGCAAACAAACCCAAGAAGCAAACACUCAUGAGAGAUAUAAUCAUUUCCUAGUGAAAAAAUAGUGUUACCAACUAAAGAAAGAACAAGCAUGCAUGUAGAACACAUGAGCAAUGAUGUACAUCUGAUUCUUUUUGAAAGAUAUACGAAGGGGCACAGAUAUUGACAUAGAAUAUGGAGUGAGUGAAUUAAAGUUGAGUGGUAGUAGAAUCAAUAUCCGUGACAUCGCACCUUUCAAAGGUUCGAAAUACUCACCGGCUUCGUUAGUAACAAGUGUAUCUGAAUUAUCAUCUGAAAACAACAAAAGUUAUCCAAAGAUUCAUUUUCUGGCGGUAUAACAGUGUCGGGUUCAUCGAGAGAUACCGGCUUCAUUAGUAACAAGUGUAUUUAUUAUCAUAUGGAACAACAAAAGUUAUCCAAAGAUUCGUUUUCUGGUGGUAUAACAGUGUCGGGUUCAUCUAGAGCAUUCUCAUCCUCCUGCGACAUGCCGACAUGUAGGUCAUCGGGCCCAAGAGAGAUGAUUUACUCCGGAACAUGCAACCACCAUCAGUGAUGUGGAGCACGCACGAAAAGAGAUCCACAUGAAUGGAGAUUGCUUAAUCUAAGUAAGCCAAGUUGAGUAGCAUUAGCAUCCAAGUCGUUGUAGUAUAGUGGUAAGUAUAUUUUGUUCAGUGUUAUAUUACACAAAAUGUUCAAUGAUUACAAAUGUUAAAUGCAUUUUCGAAAAUUGUCCAACACAUAUAUUUAUGUUUUUUUAAACGUUCAUCAUAUAUUAAAAAAUGUUCAUUGUGUAUAAUUUAAAUUAUUUAUUUAUAUUAAUAAAAUGUUCAACGCUAUUUACAAAACGUUCAAUGUGUAGUAUUCAGUUUUUUUCAAAGGAAGUUUGGUACUUAAAGCUUCGCGCUGUGAGUCAGUCAGUUGAGGUCAGUAGUUCUGUUGGCUAGUUAUACUAGAUAACGAGAAGGAGGUCACUAGAUCGAGUCCCGGUCGCGUAGCACGUUUUCUGAACCUUUUGCGCGCCUGAAGUUCAAAAGAUCCAAAUGGGCCGGCCCAUUCGUGGCUGGCUUGAGCGAAGCCUCAACAAUUUGCCGCGCACAGGUGGCAAAUAGGAGCUCUCUGCUGAGAGCCCGCUUCUACUGGCCCUGCUACUUCUUAACGCUUCCACAACGGUCGAGGCCUGCUGGGAGCUCGCCUGGCCCAUCCGGCUCUAUUUACCGCAUGAACCCUGGAAAAGUAACAUGUUCGCUCUAGAGCCCUGCUAAGACAUGUUGCGAUGGCGAGCAUGGCAUGUGAUCAGUUCCAAAAGAAAAAGAAAAAAAAAGGCAUGGCGCGUGCUCAAGGACUACAACCUAAUCAUUGUCAGAACGGGCCCUAACUCCGGAACAUGCAACCAUCGUGAUGUGGAGAUCCACAGGAAUUGAUAUUGCUUGGGCUAAGUAACAUAAGUUUAGCAACAUUAAGCAACAAAGUCGUUGUAGCAUAGUGGUAAGUAUUCCCGCCUGUCACGCGGGUGACCCGGGUUCGAUCCCCGGCAACGGCGCAUUUUUUUGUUUUUCUGGCCCAAGACAGGCCAGGCCGAUUUUUUGUUUUUCCGGCCCAAGACAGGCCAGGCCGAUUUUUUGUUUUUCCGGCCCAAGACAGGCCAGGCCGAUUUUUUGUUUUUCCGGCCCAAGACAGGCCAGGCCGAUUUUUUGUUUUUCCGGCCCAAGACAGGCCAGGCCGAUUCUUUCCGGCCUGCCAAGAGCCCGCUCCUGGCCUGCACGCUUCUGGACGCUAUACAACGGUCGAGGCCGACCCACUGCGUCCGAUGGCUCGUGCUCGCCUGGCCCGUCCGGCCCUAUUUAUCUUUUGCGCACCUUGGAUAAGUAUCAUAUUCGCUCUAGAGCCCUGCUAAGACAUUUGCCGUCGCUUAGGGAGUGCUAGAAUCUAGUCAUUGUCCAAAAUGCUUAUACUGAAUACCCACCGAUAUUUUUGAUAAAAGAAGCACUUGCUUUUGGUUUGUGCGUGUUACCCUUGGUUUGUUAGUUUUGGGGCUAUAUUUGCUAGCUCAAAUUUAAAUGAACCAGUGUUAUAUUUUAGAUCAAAUGGGUUAGUGUUGUAUGUUAUGCGUUUAUGACGGCCAUUUUCUCCAAUUUAGCUGGAAGAAGUUGUCAAUUUUUGAACUUGGCUCAGUUGAUUUCCUUGGAAGGAAGAAUGAAGCAUGGCGGACCAGGGAGGCCGGGUCUCUGCGGCAUUGGGCAAGGUGUCGACAAGGCCACGGCCAGUAACGAGUUGUAGCUAGUGGUGAGUCAACAAAGGAGAUUUCGAACGUUAAGGGUUUGUGCUGCAGGCCUGUAGACAAAUUCUGGUGGUUCGCCAAUUUAGAGGGAUGCCCGGGGGUGGAACUAGCACAGUAGUGAGGGGAGCAGGGUGGCAGAGGCAGACGGUUCGACCGAUGGUCGUGGGUGGUUCCGGAAAGAAGAUGGGCAAGGGAGGACGAGAGUUGGAAGAAGGUUAUCUGGUCAUUGAACACACAUCAGAAGGUUAAAAAACUAUCAACCCACCCAAAUAUGUUUUCUUCUUAUUCUUCAAUCUGCUGGCCUCUAACCCCUUUUUCUCAUGGGUAACCGUGUCAAGAUGAUUCUUAAACGCCAAUUAGGGUAGGAACAUGUUUUUUGUGUUUUCUUUUGGAGCUGCAUAGAUAGAAUAGAAAUCAAAUUUAAGCUAGAUUUGUCUUCACUAGAAUCGUUUAUCCAGAUUUAUGCUCACUUAAUCGUCAUAUAGGUGACUUUGUAUUUUUUAUUUUUUUAGAAAAGGAGGAAUACCCCCGCCCUCUGCAUCUGGACGAUGCAUACGGCCAUUUUAUUAAUUAUUAACACAAGACCUUACAAAGUCGUACAACAGUAAGACCAAAGCAACCAUCUAAGCAACAUUUGUCGCUACUCCUAUCCAGUUGAUGAAGGGGCGCUGAUAGUUUGGGCCUAAGACCAAACAGACCUCGCAGCCAAACCUAACAUCUAAGACCUAAGGUCCCAACCAGGACGCCUGCCGGGUAUGGGCACCCACCAGUCCGGCGUGCUCCUCAACUAGGAUGCCUGCCGGGUAUGAGGCCGCCGCAGCCACCUGCCACCAAUCCAUCUUCGAGUUGUACUCUGCUGCAUCGACCUUGCCCAGUCUAGCUGCCGCCAACGCCACCACGACGCCAGACAGCGUCGACCUCCUGCGCGUGUCCAUCAUCACACAUCUGACGCCAAGCCUCCGCUGCUCCAUGCCGCCAAGAGCCGCCGCCAUGAAUAUGUAGAAAGAAACACCGUUCCACUGAAGAAGCCAUCCGCUGGUCCCUCGAGCCCGAGUGCAUCUUCAAGAAUGCCGCCCCCAAGGGGGUAACGACACAUGAAUGCCGUCGUCAUCCGAUCAACUGAUCUAGGGUUUUCGUCAAAGGUAUUGGGUGGGUUUGGGAUUUGUACCUCGACGAUACCUUCAUGAAGGAAACGAUGAUAAGGGCAUCGUCAUCAUCGUCUUCGGCCAAUGACCGAAGACCAAGUUUUAAGUCGGAUCCGUCCCAAGAAAACCACCCGACAACAUGUGCACCGUCUCGACCGCCUUCAAAGCCCCAGAUCCAGCCGCCGAGAUACGGCGACCAACCGCAACAAGUGCCACCAUAGGAGCCCUGGCACACCGGCCACAGCCUGAGUGUGCCACCAGUGGAGCCUAGGAGGAGGGCUCCCACCCCGCCUCGCCAAGCCGCAAGUGUCGCCGAGAUGGAUUUCGCACACUCGUCGCCGUCUCUGAUCCGAACCAAUCCAUAGCAGAUCGCCAUCACAGAUCCGCCUUGGACAGGGACAACACGCCAUGCCGCCGCGAGAAGCCCUAGCUUCACCAACCGCCACCAUCCAGGGCCGCCGCCCCGGGAUCCAGACAGAACAUCGCCGCUGCCAUCGGCCAUGUUCCGCCGCCGCCGACCGGCCAAGCCGCUGGCCAGUGCGACCUACGCCGCCAUGACCAAGCACGCCCACCAGUAGCCGGCACCACCAGAUCUUCCACGAAGCCCGCCGCUUCGCCGCCUCCUCCCAUCACCAUGCCGCCAAGGCGCUGUCGGCGGCGUCAGAUCGGCCGCGUCGCCGCGACGACGGCUCAGAUUGGGGAGGAGGGCCCCUGCGCCCUGGGUGACCCGCCUCGCCCAAAGGAACAUGGGAGGGAAGGGAGCCUCCGCCGCCGCCGUCAGCCGCCCGGGGCUUUGCCCGGCAGCCUCCUCCAACGGCGGCGGAGGGGAGGGGAGGGGAGGGGUUGUGAGCCCGGCGGUGGUGGGGGUAGGGUUUCGCCCGAGCCGCCCUAGCGGGGGCGACACGGGGAUCGUCACAGGGCCUGACAAAACCUCUGCUUUUCUUUCUUUCUGCGGGAGGUGACUCUGUAUUUCACUAGACAAAUCAUUCUUAUGAAGUUUCAGCGGGACUUGUAUCAAGUGUAGCUUCUCAAUAGAAUUAUAUUCUAGUAUACAGAUCGUUCAUUUUGUUAUCUUAUCUCCAACCUUCCGAGCAAUGAAACUCAAUGUGGUUGGUAUGCUUGUUCAAUUUUUGGUAACCUCAAUGGUUUCUUGACUUCGGCACCAAAUAUAUAGAGCACAGGAAUAUUAAUAUAUAUUGUCUCUUGUGAUUGUGUUGCACAACGGUCAAUGACUAUGACAUAUCGGCAAUUAAUCGGCUUCUGAUGUAGCAUUGAUUUUUGUCUUGUGUGUUGGAUAAUAAUUUUAGUUAUGUCAAUGCUUUUAUCAAAUCCAUUAACAUUUUUAUGAAACUCGUUCAUGUGUGUAUGUUCCAUGAUCUCAUGCACGGAAGGGUUGGGUGGUUCAAAUUUGUCCUUUUCUUCGUGUUCAUUUUUUCAAACGAAAUAUCUCUCAAACUGUGCGUCCAAAUUAUGAACGGUUUUCACCGUCUUUGCAUUGAGAUCUUCAAAACUACAUCACAUGUUGAUAGGUUCUGAUACUUUUUUAGUAAAUUUGUGCUUCCAACUUGGAUUCGGAUCCUCUGACUUGGGAAGAGAAGUCAGGGAAGCUACAACACCCUGACUUCCCUUCACUAGAUUUCCGUAAAUAACAAUUUAACACAGCGAUUAUGUGCUUUAUCUACAAUAGUCUAUGAAUCUACAGUGGUGAAUGAACAGUGCCAGCUCUCUGUCUUUCCUUCCAUGUUUUACACACAUAAGGCAUUGUAGCCCCUGACUUGCCUCCUGCAUGUCAGAGGAUCCAUCUCCCCCUAGCGUGGGGCACAACAGUGCUAUCAUGUGAAGCGCACAUAUGCUUCUAGCACGAACUAAUUCGUGCUCGCAGCUAAUACUAACUCGUGAGCCACCUAUUUCUAACGUGUGCUUCCGCACAAAGUGCAUAUGUGGCCCACGCGGAGACCACACAUGAAGUCCACAAAAAACCUUAGAAUGGAACCCUAGAAAAAAAGGAAAUGCGAAAAAACCAGCAAAACUAAAAAAGAAAAGAAAAAUUAACUCUAGUGCGGGUUCCGUCUUGCGUGCGACAUAUGGCAACGGUUUUAUUGGGACGCAUGAUGAUGACUUGAAGCACCACCUGGCGAUCGCGUGCUCUCACAACCCAAAGAAAUGCCCCGCGUGGGGAACCCUUGAUUAGUUGCUCUAAGAAACAUGAGAGUGCCUAUAUGACGCAUUAAGCGGCAAACAGUCAGUCUCCCACAGAGGGGAGCGCCUUGAUUGGGCCAGCCCAGGACGUAUUGUAGUGGCUCGGCUACUUUAGCUAGCUCAGCUAUUGUAUCGAGCCGGCUGCUAUAGCAGUGUUUUUUAAAGUUUCUUUUUGUUUUCAUCAGUUUUUUGGAAUAUGUGAUUUUUGUGUGAAUGUUGUUUGAAAUUUCUGAACAUUUAUUGGAAAAAUGAAUAAUUUUAAAAUUUUGAACAUGGUUUUUGAAAAAGCAAAAAUGUUUUGAAAUUGCAAAUAUUUUAUGGAAACAACUUGGAACUUUUUAAAAAAUUCCAACAUAUUAUUUAAAAUGACCCUUUUUGAACCUUGUGUUUGAAAACAUGAAAAAAAAACUGAACUUGCAGAAACUUUGCAAAACACAAAAAGAAAUUGUACUUAUUAAAAAACGAACACUUCUUAAUUUUUUGAACCACUGAAGGAAAAUAAAAAAUUUCAUGAAUAAAACAACCAAAAAUAAACAGUUCAGAACCUUUUAGAGGGCUUCCCCGGACAGAAAACCUUGUAGAAGGUUCCUUUUCUUUUUUGAGAAAUGUAGAAGGUUCCUAAACUGGGAUUGGUAGAAGCGUGUAAUUUCACGGGUUUUUUAGGGGUUAGUUUUGCGGUUAAAUGGGCGAAGCGUCCACAUAGGAUUUACCAAUCGUUUCAAAAUAGUUGGGACUGGGCCGGGCCGACAUUACAACUGGAAGAGUUAAAAAAUAUUGAAAAGAAAAACCCAGAUCUGCGCCGUACUGCUGUACAGGUUCCUCUGCUCAGCCUAAAAAAAAUCUGAGAGAUGGAAGAAACGGCGGCGCGCAUGGAGGAGCAGCCGCGGGAGAUGGACGCGCAUCCUCCUUCCUCGUCGCCGGCGACCGCUUCUUCGUCCUCGUCCUCGUCGCCGACGUAAUACCCCCAAGCCCUACCUCGUCUUCGUCUUCCUUUUCUGGUUAAUUUCGUUCGUGGAAAGAGUAUACAGAUUUCAGAGUGCGAAGUUCUUUCUGCGUCCCAUCCCCUUCCCGUUCACCUGUAGAUGUUGCAUCAGAUCCAGCUAUAUAUCUGUAAGAUUAAUCACACUGUACCUCGAUAUGGAACUGAAUUUGGUUGAUAUAAUUAUGGCAAAGAUUGAUUCUGCUUAUUGUCAAUGGCAAACAAUCCAGAUUGAAACUAUCCCUACUUUAGAUCUCCCACAUUGCAUUUUUUUGGCUGAUUCAGUUUGACAACUAGGUGCUGUCAGUCAGUAUCAAAGCAACCUGUAUGGAACUUCAGUAGGCCCAAAGAUUGUGAGAUGCAGUUCAGUAGGCCCAAAGAUUUAUAUGAAACUUCAGCAACCUGUAUCUACCGCGUAUAGCUUCUCCAUAGAACUGAAAUUCAGUGUCUGCGUCGUUGUUGAUCUUAUUCUGAGGCAACAACUCAGUGUAAUAUGUAUCUUUGUUUAGCUCAGGUCAUGUUUCCUAGAAUCUUGGUAGCUCCUCUUCUUUUUCAUACAAUUAUAUCUAGCUUGGCAUGACUAACCUUUUGUCCUGAAUUUGUUGUGUCCAACAGGGAGAGCGCCGCCAUGCGAAUCAGCGCUAAGAGAACCUGCUAUGCCUCUGCUUCCUCUGUCUUUGCCGCAUCCGGGCCACGAGGAUGGGUAGAGCUCCCGGAAGAUUUGCUCCAAUGUGUCGUUGCUCUCCUCGGCUCCUCCCGCGACCUCCUCGCCUUCGGUGCCACCUGUCGUCCUUGGCGUGAUCUCUUCUCGGUAUGCACGUCCUCUUUGCAGCCUCUCCUCCUACACCCGAGUGCCGACAGCAAACUAUCUCCCCAGUUUAACCGCUGGACGACCUUGCAAGGAUGCACGUGGAGAUUGGCUGAUCCUGCUGGCACCUCAUCCUAUCCCAGUUUGCUUUCCUUGAGUGACCUCAGAGGCAUGUUCUUUCUUCGCUACUCAUACGGCCACCUCAUCUUCUGCGACGAUGAUGGGUUCUACAUUGUUAAUGCCUUCAGUGGCGCUAAGGUUGUUCCUCCUUGCCUCAAGUCAGAUCACUUCACCAGCAUCAGCUAUGCCACCUUGACUGCCCCUGAUGCAUCCGAUGACUCACAUCUCCUUGUUGGCAGUGGAGCCUAUCUGUUCCGGUGGCGCAUCGGGAGCGACUCUUGGUUCGAACACUAUCCUAAAGUUAAUUUUCUUAAGAUUGAACAAGUUGUGGCCCUGAAGGGCAAAACAUAUGCCCUAGGGUCUUUCGGGUCCUUCUGCAUUGUACAAUUCUUACCCAGUCUCUUAAUUCAGAAGUUUGAAGUUAUACUUGAGGAAGAUAGCACCAAAGAUCUUUAUUGGACAAAUAAAAAAACAUGGCUUGUUGCGUGUGGUGACGCGCUUCUUUUGAUCAAACUUGAGGCAUCAAGAAAGACAUUCUCGGAGGUCAUCCAGUUCAAGGCCUUCAAGCUUGAGUCGUUGGACACCGUGAGCAAGAAGGCAAGGUGGGUGAAGGUGGACAGGUUGGAUAACUGGGCCAUCUUUGUCAGCGCGGACGUGCGAUGCGAGGCAUUGCCAUGCAUGAACCCACAGAGAUGGGGAGGCAGAAGCAACCACAUAUACUUCCCAAGUUAUCAGCCUGAACAGCCUUGGGCUGCAGUCCAACUAUGGCAAAAACAUAACGACUGUUCAACACAUUCGCAGCUCGAGAACACUGGAAACCGGUACCGCAGAUUGGAGUCAACCUGGGUGAUUCCAAGCACGUUUCCUCGCUCUGGUCAGUGAUGAUCUUUGGGGCAAUCGUACAUGCAUCUGGUGUAGCUUCUGAUACAACUUCCGUGGGAGAAUUCUACCAUGUUGCAGUUGCAGGACGAGUAGUUGACUGAAUGUUGCUGACUUGUUUUCCAAAGUUACUGAUGUUGAACUCUACUUUUUCUUGUGUGGUGAUUACAAGGGACCCGUAUUAUAUUUCAUUUCUCAUCUACUAGAAAUUGUAGAGAUUUUUUGUAAUUGAGCCACUUGAUAACAUGGGCUAGGCCUGCAACUAUCUUUCAUACUAGACCUGUGGCUAAGCCCAAAAUGCAAAUUCAUACUGCCUACCAGCUAGCAUCUCUGCUCAUUAUUCAUUUGGUAAGCUAUAAGCCUACUUUCAUUCUUCAUCUUUCCAUACUACUAUAAACCUAUAAUGUUUACCCUUAUCUUUGUAAGAGUUUCUAGAAUCAUUUCGAUGCUAAUCCGCCAUCGCAUAUCAGCUGUUGAACAACUGUUCAGACCUUAUCAUCUUAAACAAAUGGUUUGUUUUGGCCAGAAUUCUAAAGAUGUUAUACCACCCAAAAUUUCUCAAAGUAAAAAAACAAGAAUCUACCAGCACAUCUCUUUUUCCUUGUGGAUGCGAUCACUUUGAUGACCCCUUUAUCCUUUAGGACCAAAGAAAAUAUGCUAGUUGCCAAUGUGGAAAAACAGAACACACAUAUAUACACCAUGUUGCUGUUUAACAAUGACAGGAAUAAAGACUGGUCUAGCUCAUCGCCAUCAUCUUUUUGUGCUUUCAAACCUUUUGCUUUCCCUGUCUAGCAUGCCCCAUCAUUCGAAUCCCCACAAGGCCUCAACAUCUUGAUGGCAUCAAGGGAGAGAAAAAGACACACAUCCACGCCACAGGCAUGGCGGGCACGGCGUCUAUAUGGGACUCAUGUUAGACUUUAGGCUUUGAAUCUUCCUGGCUUUGGGUGCCGAUGAAUCAAUGCGACCGGCAGGUGCGGCACCCAUGUCGCCAUAGAUUGGACAAGGUUCACAAACACCUUGAUGAAAAAGGAUUGGCAGAUAACAAUUUCUUCGAGUUUCUUUCACCAACUAGUAUCCUGAAAAUUUUAUCUGUUUGGGAAAGGUGGGUGAUUUACUCGUACUUCAAUAUACAGUAUGUAGAUAUGUAUAUAGCUUCUCAUCGUCAUUCGGUCGCUGCGAAGUUCACUUCUUAAUUUCUCCUGUGGUGGUAGAUAAAAAGUUUUAGCUACCAGCAUAUGCCAUCCACUCAACAUCUCUUUAUGUAAAUGUAAAGUAAAUAAAGGAGCUACUUAUCGUAAUGAAAAAGCUUUUGGGGGGUCACAUCUGGUGAGAAAACAAUCCUUCCUAGACGGCAACAAGACAAACUUCACAACUGAACGGUUGGAAAAUCACCAAAGGGCCAUAGAAUUUGUGUUCCAAUCCCCACGCAUGAAAAGGAUAUGUAUGAGCAGUUGAAGACGGAUCAGAAUUUGGAACACGCGAAUAGAUUUGACUUUACGCAGCCUUGUCACCUCAGCUUUUUUUAAUUUUCCUGUGUCAACUUUCUUACCUACUCCCUCCGUUCCUAAAUAUUUGUCUUUCUAGAAAUUUCAAAUGACUACUACAUACGGAUGUAUGUAGACAUAUUUUAAAGUGUAGAUUCACUCAUUUUGCUCCGUAUGUAGUCACUUGUUGAAAUGCCUAGAAAGACAAGUAUUUAGGAACGGAGGGAGUAGAAAAGAUAUGGCUGCUGCCUGUGCUUGCAUAAUCUAUCUUGGAUCAGGUAAAUGGAUUUUUGCUGGGGAUGUCAUUCCUUCCUUUCUGUACAUGAUGACAGCGUUGACACUUAUAGUUCUAGACAAGAAGAUGUCAUGUGUACUUUCUCCUAGGACUAUUCACAUUGAAAGCAUACAGGUUGUACAACAACCCAGCAAAUUUCAACCAUGUUCAUUUACUCCAUUCCAAGAAAUAAUCAUACUGCAGGAGAAAACUUUGUGCGCUACAGUCUGGUAAACUGGUCACAAUCUGGAGAGGAACAUAAGAACUUUUCAGUACAUACUAUUUUUAUAUUAUCUUUGUAUUCCUUUAGGCACUAUUUUCAUUCUGCCUUCUUUCAAAUGGUUCCUUUGCAAUUAUGACCACUAUUUUUUUCUGAUUACAUUUUUUUGAAAAAACAAUAUAAACAUAUUGAGAUGGAAUUAUUCAUCACGACAAGUCGACAACUCCAAUAACUAAUACGCAUAAGACAUACUUUUGUGCGCAUCUGUGGUCAAAGUUUCAGAAAACUGAAGUACAUAUUCUUGAGCAGCAUCCCAAAAAAGAGCCGAGGGGGCAGCGCAACGACAAACGCUAGUGAAAAAGGAAAAGGAGAAGAUAUGUUCUUGUUGAUCCAUGUAGAAUUGCAACUUAUUAUUAAGGUCCAAUAUAUACCAGCAACAUGCUACUUUCCUGAAUCUACGGCGCCACUGAAUUCGUGAGACAUACUCAUGCUGCUGCUUAAGUAUGUAAGUAGUAGUGGUGGAUCUGCACCAACUUGGGCACUCAGAAUUAGGGCCUUGUGCUUUGUGGUCAGGUGUCCUGUCGGGUCCAUAUAUGCCUGCAUUAUCCCCCAAAUGCCGGCUGUCACGGGCGCACAGCCGUAUGCAUCAAGUGAUCACUCACAGCAAAUGCAGGCCAUCCCCGUCGCUUAGUUAGUGGUCGAAAGAGCAUCUUGAAAGCUAGGCUUGUUGAACACUUUGUAUAUCCUAGUACAACCUGACAUUGCUUGUGGUUGGGGCCACUUAAUUUAAUCUUGUCGACGAAAGUACAUGAUUAACUCCUAGCUAUGUUGAUGCUCUAAUCAGUUUGAUGAGAGAGAAGGGGUGCCGACUAAUAAAAAUAACUAACUCGCUUCGUUCAUUCGUGCAUAUCGUGUUCUGACCACUUAAAUUCAGGCUUUGAACAGCAACUAUUUCAACAAUAUGCGGGUUGUGUUACACAAAAUCAAUACCAUUCAAAAAACACAGUGACAAACACAUCUUGUAGCUGUAUUUUUUAUAACCGUUACGUCCAAAGUAUUUAACAGUGAAAGCUCAUACAUAACAAUCAAAAUGCACCCUACAUUCCGGAACAGAGGGCAUAAUAAUUAGAUAAACGCGUGUCUAGAUCAAAGAACUACUUGAAUAAAUUCGGCAUCACAGCUAGUGCAUUGUGUUCUGCCCUUUUUUCUCCAUCUUUUUUGUUUCCAACAAUAAAGAGGAGAAAAUAUGUCGAGCGAUUAACAUUUGCUGCCACUAGUACGUACUACCACACUAAUCAGUGACCGGGACAGCUUAGGAUCUGGCGAGUGCGAAUCUCAACUCUUAUCUUUUCCUUUCUUUCCUUUUUCCACUAGUAUAAGUACCUCUUUUCCUUUUUCCGCCGUUCAAAAAGAGUUGGCGUGCGCGCGCUCGCUUUGAUCCUGUUUUCUCACUCUUUUCUCCUCUCCUCCUGUUUCCGUGGCGUUGAGCGCCACUUUGCGCCCUUUGAGCAGUACAAUCAGCCUGAUCUGAUGAAUCUCAAGUACAUCAUCAUCAUCGUAAAGUAAUACGCGAGCAGGGCCCGUUCUUUGGACGAUUCAGACGAGCCUUGACUGUACUUGCCAUUAUCCUUAAGAACUGUAUCACCAGCAUAAUCACACUCCCUCAUUAGUAGUCGUUGCCAUCACAGGGGCGCCUCCUAACCAUAACCACACGGUAAAACCUGAGGAAGACAGGUGUCUUCCAUUAGAAUUGUGUAUGUAUCUAGUGCCCGUGCACGUACGGGGCCUCGAGGUUGAGACGGCAGGCAGGCAGGCGGGCAGGAAUCUUGCCAGUUGGAAGCGUGCGUAUGAUUCUUUCCGGUGCGAAUAUCGAUAUGAAAAAUAAGGGAAAUGAGGCAGGUGUGGUUAGGUUGGGAACAUUGAUUAAUUAGUUUAUUUAUUACAAAGAAACCAAGUGCUCUGGUCAACUCCCUUGCUCUACCACAAAUAUCUCGAAUCUUAACUAUAGUACUGUGAGCACCAGGCAUCUCUUUAAUGCAAAUUGAGGAUUAACAAGUAUAGCAGGAGUGUUAGUAGAUAAACUAACGGUGGGCAUUCAACUGCUACUGCUCCUAGGUUUUGUUGUGGAGCAGAGCAGGUAAGGUGGACAAGAGAAGACCCCGGGACAGACGUGUGGCUGACCUGGCACUAGUUAAAGCAGCUAAGCUAAUUAGCACUAGUGGUUCAAACGGCUAGCUAAUAACUCUCUAUAUCUCUCUCUCUAUUGUGAUAUGACCGUUGUGUAACGGCUAGCUAGGUCCAAGAACGGGUCAACGAUCUCUCUGAAACCGUAGGCGAGAGAGAGAGAGAGAUUCGAAAGCGGUCAGGCAGAAGCAAACGGCAGAGGCAGGAAUCAGGCCAUCCAUGAUGCAUGCCCAGUUUCAGCUCCCUCCCUCCCUCGCAUCUUAGGGCAUCUCCAACCGCGCCCCAGGAAGGCCUCCCCAGGCGUUUUUUUCGCGCCGGCGCCGAAAAAACGGCCCAGUCGCGCCCCAGGAGCCCGAUUUUCGCCGGCUUGGGCCGAAAACAGCGCCGGCGGACCCAGCCCGAACCCGGCGCGUUGGGGGGGCGCCCGGGGGCGCCGGGCGAACUGUUUUGGCGCGAAAAAGCCGCGGGCCCGCCGCGUCAGCGACACGGCUCUCUUCUCGGCCCUUCGUCGUCCUCAUCGCCUCGUUUCCCGCGGCGAAUCAAUGCCAAAGUUGCCGCGCGCUGCCGCGCGGGUCAGCCUGCACCAUUGAUGCCUCACGGGCGGCGCAGUGAAGACCGGACGACGCGCGUCCCUCGCCCUCCCUCGCCCGCCACGCGUACACACGGUGGCACGCGUGCCUUGGCCUAUAUAUGACGCGCCCCGGCGCACUCGGCGACUCACACUCUCCCGCCGUCGUCGUUCCUCCCUCUCCUCUCCUCUCUUUCGCCGUCUCCAGUUCACACCCAUGUCCGAGCGCUUCCCAGGCGACGACGCGGCGGCGAACGGCUUCGACCGCCGCCAUCUUCAUGAAGACGAGGCUCGCCUCCUUUACGAGGCCGAGUACCCGGUCCCGCCGGACAUGCGGGUGCCCGGGGCGUGGAGGAUCAACGCGGGCGGCGUGCCGGUGCCCCCGGUACCCACCGGCGCGGUGCGGCGUGCGGAGAUCGCACGCAUCCGCGCGAACCUGCCGCGUGCGGCGAGGGAGGGGCCACGGUACGUCCCAGACAGCCCGCUCUGGGACCCUUACUUCCGCCGCCGUCACGCCCAGUAGCUCGAGGCCACCAACGGCGUCGUGCCCUCCGGCAGGCUCAACGCCGCCGGCCGGCGUGGGUGGUGGGGCGUGCCCGGGCGCACGUUGGAGGCCGUCCUCGAGGAGAUGGUCCGGCAGCGCCGGGCCCUGGAGGAGAUCACCGCCCGCAAGCGUGGGCGCGAGGACGAGCACGGCGUCGUGGUCCUCGACAGCGACGACGACGACGCCCCCGGACCGUCCAACCCGCCGCGCCAACCGGGGGAGGGAUGCAGCAGGGACGGCGGAGGCGUAGGUGGGGGCGACGACGACGAUGACGACGACGGCGGUGACUACACGCGGUUCUACAGCCUCCUCGGCAUGUAGAACCGCGUGGGCGGGCGGAGAGGCGGGCGGCGAGGGAGACGGCGGGGGUAGCCCGCGGUAGUUUUUUUUUCUUUUUUUGUAAAAUAUGUUUAAGUUUGAACGAACCCGCCGAUGUUUGCAUUAAAUUUGAGUCGUUUUUCGCCGUAUUUGACUUUUUUGACUAACUGUGGGCGCCGCGACUGGGGGACAUCACGCCCCCAGUGCACGGUUUAGCGCCCCUAUGGGCGAUUUUUUGCCCUCCUGGGGGGCCAACGGCUGGAGAUGCCCUUAUAUCUCUCUCUUUUCUUGUCACUACCUACAUAUAGAUAUAGGUGAUUAAUUAAGGAGAGGCUAAUCAAGGGCCAAAGUUGACGGUGUUAUUAUGCGUUGGUAACCGUGCUGGCUGCAACGGUAACGAAAAAAUAAUAAAUAAAAAAAAGGACAGACAGGGAGUGGAUGCCGGCAAGGCCCUUUUGUCGUUAGCUUGCCGCUUGUGCGGGACGCAGGCGCACCCGCUGCCAAUCAUGGCUGGCACUUGAGUUGAGAUUUCUCCCAUUUCAUUUCACCUUGAGGGAGGGAGCAUCAAUCAAAGAGAAAACAGGGAGUGAUGGAGCACCAUACCCACGCCACGGUGCGCCGAGGGUGCAAUUGUCCCUCUCUGCCUGCUCGGGUCUCCUCGUUUCCAAGUUUUUUUUUUAAAAAAAAAACCUUGAAGUGAUAUGUGCAUGUGCAAGAUGUAAAUUAUCUCAUCGGAUGGCUAUUGCGCGUGCAAGAUUCCAUCAACAAUAUAUGUGUAAAUUCCACUUGUGUUUUCUUGUUUUUUUUUUCCUUAGGGUCGUGCAUAUGUAGGAGAGGGACAUGCAUGAGCCCAUGCCGGCCUAGUUAAGCUAGGAUAUAUGCGCGUCAAUGUUUGUGUGUUGGUGUGAUGUGAUGCCAUACUAUGCUACGCCAACUUGCCAACAUCAUUACCAUUUUCCUAUCUACACUGCGCUAAUGGUAUGUAGGUCAUCCCUCCGAGCCUGAGGUGAGCCCAGCCCACACAUAAUCAUACAUUGAUACUCACAAUUUGCUAGGCUUGACGGUGACAUGCGUGGGCAUGGCUAGAGAUGAGACCUGCGCUGCAGGCCGCUUAGGUUUUCUAUGGAGACUUCUUGGUUUGUGUCCAAGCCGUUUUUUCAACGUGUUGGGUUAAUAUUGGAUGGGAUACAUACAUCAUGCAUAUAUAAUACCCCAAAGAGGGAGGGAUUCGAAUAUACCUAAAGCCAAUACGAAUACAUGGGAAAUUAUGCAUAUAUAGCAAAGUUGAGUUGCACGUGCUACUUUACUUACGCAAGCUACACGCACGCAACCCUCAACUGAAUUUCACCCUAAUUCUCCCAUAGUUGAACAGUGAAAUCAUGGAAACAAGAUUCAAAAAAAUGAAUUUCAAUUCCGAUGCUUUUAAAAGACAAAAUUUAAGCACCAACUUUUUUUUCCCGCUCAUGACACAGUCCUUGUCCUUUUUCCCCAGAUCAUCUACAUGUAUACAUGUGUAUGUAACCUUUUGCGAGGUUUUUUCUUUUUACAUAAAAAAAAGCAUCAUCCGAUUUGAAUAUCCACAUUCUACCGUGAUAACUUAUUUUUCAACGAGAUGAUUAAGUAUACACAUACGACUUUGCCUAAGGAUAAGUCUCCCCAGAAAAGACUUGUCUCUUUUUACGUAAACCAACCGUCCACACAAGUCUGUGCAAACAUCGACAACCAAAAAUAAGGAAAAUCAUGCAAAAUUAUUUAAUCUCGACAAACUAAAAUAUGAACAUUUGGACAUAGAGCUUACGUCCUGCUGCCCAUAGGGCUUGUAGUUUAGUCUUUGUAAACACAUCAUCAUGGAGUUCAAAGUCCAACCAGCCAUCAACAACAACAAUAAUUAAUCAAUUGAAUUUAAUCGAGUUAUUGGGUAGGGGAAAAGUCGCACUUCUAGACACCACCCAACAUGCGAUUAGUCUUCUCGAAUACCUCCCAUAAAAUUGUCUCCUUCACGCUUAGAUGAUUCAAUGGUUUUAUCAUUAGGAAAUGCAUGGAUAACCACUCUCACUUGCAACAGGCCAUAGCAUAAGCUUCUUGACUGUGGACUUGGGCAAAAGAGAUGUGAUUAUCAAAGAAAAAUAUGUGUGUGAUGACAUGAUAAUGACCAGGUCUAGAUGCUUUUUCAACCUCAAAGUUGCAUGUGUAAAGGAGUCAGCUCAUCUAGAUACAACCAAAGAAACAACAUUUCAAAAGUGUUAUACGAAUUCAAGAAAGCAAUAAAUGCGAGAAGAACAAUUGAUAAAUAACCGCACAUAAUCGUCGUUUGGCGUAUGAAAGCGGGCUUAGCGAAAAAAUACUUGACUUGUUUGUGCUCCCUCUGGUGUAAUUUUCUCCGUGUCUUUUUGCUCUCGGGUCCGUGUUAAACGUCACCUCUUAUCAUAAUUGACACAACUUGAACACUAAUGACACCAUCACUGUAUCUGAGUUGACAAAUACCAUGGACAAGAAGAGAAAUAACAGUACAAAAGCACAUCAUUAUUCAUUUAAGCUAAUCACAAUUAAUACGACUUGAUGUGUACGUCGAGACUGCUGGACAUGGACAGCUCCAUGGACCUCCAUAUACGUCUGCCUCUUGACCUACCAUCACCAUUUAUUACCCCUUUAUUUUCCAUGUUGUUCUUGACGGCUCCAUAUAUAUUUUUCUAUAAAAUCGCUGCAAUUUGUUAUUUUGCAGCUCUUUUAUCCGACUUUGUCGAUUAGGGUGAGCCCUCCAUUGACUUUUUCAUGACAGUUAGUUGAUGAGGCAGAGAUAUUCUUAGGAGCAGGUGAAGACAAGAGCACAAGAAAAAAGGAUCAUCUUAUUCUGAUGGAAGAAAAGUUUAUCCUCCUUCCAACCCAACAAACUCGAAAGAUCAAUUAAUAAUAGUUGCUUCAUUUGGUCAUGAUGCUGUUCUUUUUUUUUUUGCAGGUAAUAUGGUGUACAAAUGGUGCAGUGUGUGUCAGGUUCAAAAGGGAAAGAGAAAAGAACAGAGCUUUCUUCAAGUACAGGGUAGUAUUAGUAUUUAUCUCAGUCCUUCUGGUGAUUGUUUUUUGGGGGAUUAAACAUAUGGGGUGCAAUGCAAGUACAAUGUGUAGUGCAAUCAUCAAUUGAUAAAACAAAAGUAAAAAGUAAAAAAAAAAUACAACACAUGUUGUUGAGAACUUGAAAUGCAAGCCCAGAUGCAUCCACCCUUUGGCAAGAGUGGAAGGUCAUUAGCAUCAACAAUAUUUUUCACAAGAAAAAAUUAGCAUCAACAAUUUGCAAGGGGCACCAGACAGAGACUCAUCAUUUGGCAAGAACAGAUGUCAGUCAUUAGCUUGGCAUCAUGUAAGAAAAUGGCCAUGAUGUGCCCUGAUAAUGAUGUGUUCUGUCAUAAAAAAAUUAGUGGAGUGCCCUGAUGAUGACAUGGUCCUGUGUUUGCAAGGUGCCAUAUUGUUUUCAUUCAAAACCAAUGGAAAAACACUCAUCCAAGUUUCCAGAAUAGCAGCACAUUUGCAGAAUGAACCAAAACAAAGUUCCUUUGUACUAGAGUGAAAGAAGAAGCACCAGGCAGAUUGCACCAGAAGUUUUUAUUUUCACUCUACACAAUCACAUUUUCGACAUAAAUCACGAAGCAUGACUGCUAGAGAUUUUUCAGGGAGGACAGGGCGAUGAACAAGGAACCAUAUCACCAUCAGUUACAAUUGUCUUUCUUCCAAGCAAAAGAAUUUAACAACACAUUAACAGAGCUGCUAGCACACUCCCUCUACCACUAUGUCAACAUCAUCAUAAUCAUCAUGCAUCAAAGGGGCAGAGCACCGGAUUAACAGUGUCACUGAGACAUGAACAAGAAAGAAAAAACAAGAAAAAUAGAAGAACAAAUCAUACCCUCUCACAAGCACAACGCACCACAACAAUGGUAGCAAGAAAUCUUUCCAACCAACCAACCAUGAAAUGUAUCAA
This 52189-nucleotide long non-coding RNA is filed under the name Triticum aestivum (bread wheat). RNAcentral's name for it is "long non-coding RNA (TAES_LNC002492)". The stretch from base 10423 to 10494 matches the Rfam family "tRNA". The record is from RNAcentral. Lineage: Eukaryota; Viridiplantae; Streptophyta; Magnoliopsida; Poales; Poaceae.